UUAAACAUUCAGAUGCAGUAGGCACGAUCAAUUCGACCGCAAAAUCUCUCCAAAUUUCACAAUCUCUCAUUUCCAAAACUGAACCCGCAUAUCACACAAACACACAAACAGAGAGAGACCGGCGUUGGGAGGAACCACCAUCAGUGGCGGCGGCGGCGAGGCGGAGCACUGGACAAAGAUCUUGGUUGGGUGGGCUGGGCAUCGCGACGCCACGUCGAUGGCGACCUCCUGCCAGUUUUUGUGCGCUUGCCGCGCCGGCGGUCGGGGGAGAAGAAGGAGAUCCGAUGGGAAGAGUGUUGAGAAUAAGACACCAAAGUCCGUAAAAGCAGCAGGAAAACAAGGAUCCCUUAAAGCAGCAGGAAAACAAGGAUCCCUUAAUCAAGGGAUCCUUGUAUGACUUUGUAUCAGCAAUAUUAAAUAUCAUCUCCCAUCAAACACUAUAAAUGGGAGAAGUGUAUCAGUAGGAAAAAAUACAACAAGCAAUACAACAACAAUUAUCAAUCUUCUCUUUUCUCUGCAUUAUGAUAAAUACAUGUGUUAACAUGGUAUCAGAGCAGAUUUCGAUCUUAGGAACUCAGAAAUAUAUCAUCAUUGUUCCAACCCUUUCUCUAACCUUUUUUUCACCAAAACAGUAGCCAUAUCCUAUCUUUUUUUUCCCUUUCCUGAAACAGAAAAAAAUCAAACAAAAUGUCAGGUGAAACCCAAAUUACAGAAACCAAAAAUCCUUCAGAAGAGUUAACUCUUCAAAUUGCAAAUCUAGUUCGGAAUUCAGACAACGUCAUUCUGGGAUUCAAACUAGAUGGGAACAAUUAUCCCUUAUGGUCACGCCUUAUGAAAGUAGCCAUCGGGAGCAAGGGAAAAUCCAGCCAUAUCACUUGGCAACCACCACCACCAAACGAAUCCGAUUCUGACUACUACAGGUGGGAAGAAUCAGAUUUGUCAGUUUUCUCAUGGCUUAUACAAAACAUGGAAGGAAAAUUGGUUACCAAUUUCGCACAACACCAAACAGCGAAGGCUGUAUGGGACAGCCUAGCGGUAACUUACGGGAGUGGAGCCGAUCCGUUUCAGCUCUACGACUUAGAAGUAAAAGCCAACAAAGUAAACCAGGGACAACUUACUUUGGAGGAUUACUGGAAUGAGCUUCAAAGAAUUUGGCUCACCAUCGAUCGGAGGGAACCGAAUCCUCUCGGCUGCUGCGAGAAAGGAAUCAACAAAUAUAGGGAACUAAUCGCCAAUCGCCGAUUGUACCAGUUCCUCUCCGGAUUGGAUACCAAAUAUGAUGCAAUUAGAAGAGAUAUCCUCAAAGAAUCCCCUGUUCCCUCAGCCGAGUCGGCGUUUUCAAGGGUACGAAGGGAAGCCGCCCGGCUAUAUAUUCUACAACCGGCAACUAACUCCAUCGACACCGGUAACUCUUCAUCAUCGGGAAUUGGAACCGGCCUGGCUGCCUCUCGACUCCCUGCACCAAGCUCGAACCACCAGCCACCAGAGGACCGCCGAACCACUCCGGCAACCCGUCUUAUCGGAAAAAGAUUGACAAAACACGACUUUUUUGCACCCAUUGUGGUAUGAACAAACAUACCAAAGAAAUGUGCUUCAAACUUGUGGGCUAUCCCGAGUGGUGGGAGGACAACCACAAAGCUCCUCAAGCCAAAGGAAAGGCGGCAGUCGGCGUGGAGGUGGCGGCCGGAAUUGGGGCAGUGGCGGUGAGCGGCGUCAAGGGAGAAGAGAAGGGGAGAACCGAGAAAUGGGAGGGAGCCGGAACCACGGUUCCUCCGAUGAACGGCGAAGAGAAGGGGAGAAUGGAGAAAUGGGAGGGAGCGGCGGAAAUUUGGGGAGAAGGUAUAGGGUUUGGUGGAAUAUUUCCACUAAAUCCCUCUAACUUUGAUAAUCCUAUUUUAAAUCCCUCAAGUUCUAGUUUAUUACAGAAAGAACCCCAUUCCAUUCAAAACUCCCCACCAAUUUUCGAAAAUUCGAAAAACUCCCCACAAUUUUCUGAAAAUUGUGAAAAUGACCCUAAACACUUUAGAAAUUAUUCUAUUGCGUGUCAAACAUUGAAAAAUAAAAUUGAAAGAGAUAGAGGGUGGAUAUUUGAUUGUGGGCCACGGAUACAAUGACUUUUGACAAAACUGACUUUCUCGAGUCAUCUAAGUCAUCUNUCCAUCUAGCAUGUAGAGAUUUCUGUGUAUCUUAGCCAGAGCCAAUAUAUGAUCUGAAUUUUGCCGCUGAAUAACACAAUGUGUCUUCAAGAAAAGACACCUAACAUCAUCCUUUUUGUCAACUGUGCUACUGAGAUUAGAUUAUGUGUAAAGCUCGGUGCAUACAACACUUGUGUGAGGAUUAACUCGCUAGAUACUUGAGCCUCACCCAUAUGUGUAACUGUUUCACACUUCCAUCUAGAAGAUGAAUCUCCUGACACUUUUCCAAUCGAUGCAUAGCACUGAGCAGCUUAGAAUUACAGCAAAUAUGUGCACUAGCUCCUGAAUCAAGGAUCCAUGUAUUGUGUGAGUUUCCAGAGAGCACACUAAAAGCAUAGUGUCCCUCAAACUCUAAACCUCCUUGCACCAUAUUAACAUCACUUUUCUGUGUAGGAGUGCUGCUUGUUUGGUUCACCAUGCUCCCACGCAUUUGCUAAUUUCAGAUUGGAUCAACUUUACAAGUGAUCCAUCAUUAUCAUUAACCGACCUUCCAUGAGGCCCUGUUUCUCCUUCUGAUUUCACUUCAGCAUAGUUAGCCUUAGAUUUCCCUUUUCCUUCCUUCAAUCGUUUGUACCAAUCUGGAAAUCCAUGCAGUUUGAAACACUCACUCUCUUCAUGCCCAUGGCGUUCACAGUGUGCACAGUAAAGUUUCUGCCUCUCCUCUUUACUCAUUCUCCCUUAUACAAUUGUUGUUGUUUACCAACCUAGAGUAUCUCUUCCUUUCCCAACUCCUUGCUUUCCCACAGUCAUAGCCUGCAUCGCAUGAGCUUCUCCAAAACUUUCCACAGUUAUCUUCUGAUCCUCUAUCUGAAGUACCAUAGAAUAUGCUCUGUUUACAGUAGGUAGAGGAUCGAGAAAUAAUAUCUGACUCCGUGCGCUUUCAAAUGCAUCAUUCAACCCCAGUAAAAACUGCAUCAAACGCUGAUUCUCUUCUCUAUUGAUGCCUGCCUCACGUGUGCCACAAACACAAGACAACGGUGGUAGCAACAUAUCCAAUUCAUCCCAUAAAGCAGUAAGGUUAUUAAAAUAGACAAGGACACUCUGAUUACCUUGCAUAUAACCACUGAUUUCUCUUUGCAGCCUAUAGAUCUUAGGGCCAUUACUUCUACCAAAUCGUUGGCUUAUAGCAUCCCACAAUUUCUUCGAAUUUUCAAUAUGAACAAAGGCAUUUACCAACUCUUUAGAAAUCGAAUUUAUUAUCCAUGAAGAGACCAUAUAGUCAGCUUUAACCCACGCCUUAUAGUAUGAAGAGCUAAAAUCUGGUUCAGGUAAGGUACCAUCGAGAAUUUCCAGUUUACUCUUAGCUCCUAAAGCACGCUUGACAGAUCUACUCCAGUUAAGAAAAUUAUUACUUGUCAAUUGUGCUGCAACCAACUGCAUUCCUGGAUGAUCGGCGUUGUGGAGUUGCAAAAUCUCCUCGAUUUGCUUUGGAUCUAGAAUUUGUGGAUUGAUUCGCUCCAUACGCCGACUGCCUUCAGAUUUGUUGUGCAAUGCAUCCUUGCGAGCUAUCUCUUCAGCGUCACCAGCCUCUUCUUCAGCCAAAAUGUUCCACGGAGUAUGUCGUAUUUUGCCCAUGGAUCAGAGAUCUAGUAUGCUCUGGAUACCAUGUUGAAUGUGUGAUUCGUGAGGAAGAAGAAAACAAUUAAGCUGAGUAGAGAGUAGUAUUAUUUCAGCAGAGAAAAAGUUGCGUACAUAAAGUUGUUCACUCAGCUAUUUAUAGACAUAGCAUGAGGCAAAAACAAAGCAACCAAUCAGAAAAUAACAAGUGGCAAAAAGAGAUACAAAAGAUGCUUAUUAGAGUACAUGCAACAGCAUGUGUGCACCGAGCCACAGCAGAUAAAACUAACUCCUGCCUUUACAAUUGCACAACUUAUCAUUCGUUAGGCUUGUAAAUGGGCACAAUUUUUAGUGAAGAUUGUAAUUGCGAUAUGGAGGUGAAGGUUGGGGGGGAAAUUGCUACUUUUCCUUAAUCAAAUUUGUAAAUACUACUCCCUCCGUCCGUCAAAAUUAUGUCACAAUUACUAUAUUGGGCGUCCGCCAUAGCGGAUGAAGGGAAUAUAAUAGAUGGAUACAACUCGUCUAAAAAUAUCAUAAAAUAACAUCUAAAGCUCACAAGUAGCUAUACUUAUAUUUGUAUAUUACUAGUGGUACUACUUAUACACGCUAGCUAUUACGAAUCGACUGAAUUGUCGAAUACCUCUUGCGCAUCAUCUAAUGGGAAGCAGAAGGAUAAAUAAUUUUUUUGAUAGAAGAAAAUAUUUCAAGUUUAAUAGAACUUUUCAAAUCUUUCAGUAAUUAUUUAUACAUUGAUCUUCAAUUUUGGUAAAUUUUCAACGGCAAAUGGAAAUUGACCAACAUUCCGGCAACUUUCAUCCUAUGUGGCUUACCGCAAACCAGAAACCACGCACGACCUUAGAUCACCAAUUUUGGCUUCCAAUAAUAAGGUCAAGUUUCUAAAAGAAAGCUCAACAUUUCAAGUGUUUUUUUUUGAGGCAACAUUUCAAGUGUUUAGUUCAUAAUAACAUUAUAUUCUUCUAAAUUAUCUACAAAUCAUUCUAUUUUCCCAGUCGAUAUAUUAGUCGGAAAUAGUUAGAAAUAAAAAAAAUAUCAAACAUAUGUUAUCAAUUCCGUUGUCGUCCAGCGGUUAGGAUAUCUGGCUUUCACCCAGGAGACCCGGGUUCGAUUCCCGGCAACGGAAAUUUUUUUAUGCCUUCGCUUUUAAUAAUUUAUACAUUGUUUCUCUUAAAUCAUUUUUUCAAACUUGAUGAAAAAGCGAAGCACGAUUAAUUAAAUAGAAAACGAAAUCGAGCUGAAGAACGUGAAAUCUACAUGGACGGAAAGUAGUGAGGUCGGCUCUCCAGUAUCAAAAAUGGCGGAAUUAUCACUUUAUUAUGAUCUCUAUCUCCUUUUCCCUAUUUUCUCCCUUAACCUCAACUCUUCUUGUAACUCACAUACAAAGAAGAUAAGAUAAAACAACUAUAUAUCUGAAGAUCUAAUAACCACUCAUUCUAACGGAAAAACUUGAGCAACGUGAAAAUAACCAUGUAAUCAACUCUUUCUAUUCGCCUGGUCCAUGAAGUUUCUACAAAUAACGCAUAUUUAUGCAGAUACCCUCAACAAAACCAAUUCUUAGGAUUUCAGAGUUCAGUAUUUCCAUAAAUUACUGUUCAAUUUUCACAACAAGACAAGUCUAGUUGAUGAAUACGGAACUUUUAAGCUUGGAACUAAUCGCGUCUUCUCCUAAAACCAGUAGUCCUAGAAUUUAGUCUUCUUGAGUUAGUUUCAUUUCAGCUUUGUUGUUUGAUGAUAAUUCAAGUGGUUUUCCACAUGUCUCUAGGUUUUUCUUUUUUUUAUGUUUUCACAUUUACUCUACAAACUGAAGCUUAAUAAAACUUGGUCAAACAAAUUUGCCAACGCACGUGACACCAAGUAGAAAAGAAUGGAAGUAGAAGAAACAAAGUUUGCCAAAACUAAUACCAAUAGAAUAUUAGCACCACAAAAUCUAAAAAAUAAACAAGAGAACAGUACGACACGCAUUUUUCCAAUUUGAAAAAGUUGCGACAAUUUGGCCAUAACAUAUUGAACUAGGAGAUAAACAGUAAAUGCCACAAACAAACUAAUCUUUCUAUGUGAUUCAAACCAACCGUUAACCUAUUGGUUGAUACAAAAAUAUCUUACGAAUUGAGCCACCCUCUCAACCAACUGAUUGGAGGAAAAAUAUCUUACAUUUGAGUUGAACUUCUUCACUCCCUCAACCAAGUGGUUGGAGGAAAAUAUCUUACAAUUGAGUUGAACUUCGCCAUCCCAAAGUGCAAGUUAUAACUUACUAGGCGAGGACGAUAAAGUAAGACACCGAUAUGCUUAAGGAAGACCAUUAAAUAUGGACAAAUCCUCAUUCGGCAAAUUGGCUCAAAGGGAGGGAAACGGAAAAGGUUCCCAAAAAUAAGAAUAUCUUAUAUUGACUUGUGACACCAAUUGCAAUCCAAUGUUCCAAUGGAAUAUUGUAUGAAAUUAGCAAAUAGGUUGCCAGGAAAGCCAAAUUCUCAAGACAGGAUAGCAAGAAAGUAAAUGUAGUACACAAUUUGCCUCCCUCUUAUAAACUAUAAUCGCACUCGCACAACAAAAUCUCUAUCAAAAAUAAUAUCCUUGACCAAGAAUUACAAAAUAAAGGAUGACACGGGACUAUGACUAUCCACUAGCAACUAUUUCAUGAAUGGCUUCACUCACAUUCACAUCGUCCGAUCUCACAGCUAAUUUCAUUGCCACCUCUUUAGUCCCAUCCAUUCCAAACGACAAACGGACAAGCACCUUCACAUUGCCUAUGUACACACCAGAUAAUAAACAUGUAUGCGAUCUUGAGUUGCUUGGGACCGCCUCGGUGCCCUGCACAAACAAAAUAAAUAACAUAAUUGGCAACUAUAAAGAUGUGGCAAAAACCAGCUCAAUUUGUUCAUAUUUAAGAACUUGUGCCCUUUGACAGGCAUAAUCCAAGGUUCAAUGGCUAAUUAUCUGAAGGAAAUAUAAGGCUGUAAGGAACGCACCUCACACGGCUGCAUGCCAAGAAGACUGAUGACUGCAUUAACAGCCUCGACAAGGCUUUCCCUGGGCCCAAGGCCAUAUUCAUCUAUGCGCUCCGUAUCAGGGUCCAUGCUUUCCCAUGCAUUUCUAAAGUUAGAGACGCCCACUUUUAGAAUGUAAUCAGCAGCAACAACCUCGAAAUCUUCAAGCUGGUAUUCAUCUUCCACACCAUCAUCUUCAGCCUCUCCAGUAGAGGUAUCAACCUAAACAAGUUUAUGGAGGCAAUAAUCACAUAAACAACAAGUGUACCACGGCUUUUGGAUCCAAGAAAAAAAUAUUCAUAUGAAUGACAAAAUAUAGAUUUUGCUGAGUCUAAGUUACAUGAUCGUGCAUGUGGCAUCUUCAAAGGCAGCCAAACCAAUGAAGGAAGAUAUACCUCUUUAACAGUGAACCUCAAUGUGUUAGAAAAUUUCCCAACCGCAGGAAUGCCUUCAGGUUUCUCAAAGGCCACAAAUGUUUGGGCUGGUGUAUCAUAAGGAAGAGAUUUUAAAGGUUUGACUCCUACUUCAGAGAAUUCCUCAGCUUCAGAAGCAUCCACAAUAACAGUCACCUAGCCGCAGGAGCAGAACGAUUUAAGUAAUGGAAACACAAUGAACGUCAAUGGGACAAAAAACUUGCAACAAUAUGGUCUGUACAUUUUCAAGUAGCUGCUCUGGUAUUGUAUUUGUGCAAUUGUACUGAAAUACCACAUGGUGGUCAAAUAUGUGCUUGACAACAUUAACUGCAUACUCCGUUUCUGCUUCUGUAAGCUCCACUGGCACUGAUGACUGAUCACGAACAUCGAACAUGAAAACUCAUUGGAUACUAUACACAACGAAAGUUAUUGGUAUGAAUCAGUUCAGAUAGUUAUCCACCAACCUUGAAAAGCUUUCCAAAAUUUGCAAAUUCAGGAAUAGAGGAGAGAAGCCUUUCAUAAGCAUCAGAUGCAGAAGUGGGUGCAGGAGGUGGAGCACCCAAAGCAGUUGGUUUCUUUCCUGGGGCUUUCUUCUCGACAAGAGGCUGAGACUUUACCUCUCUGGGUACAGAAUUGAUAUCAAAAGGCUCUUCUGUAGGAUUCUGUGCCUGUUCCAAAACAAAAGAAGUGCAAUGUCUAAUAUAACACAAGCCUCAAGUAAUUAUUGCAAAUCUAGCUUGACAUUAAGUGCAAUGUCUAAUAUAACACAAGCCUCAAGUAAGCACUGAUAUGUAUAAUACAUUAAUGCUUACAUAGUUUCUUAAAGUAGUCUCCAUAUUUGCUAGUGGUAUAUCAAGUGAUCCAAACAAAAAUUCCUUUACAUCUUUGUCAGUUUCAGCAACUGAACCAUCACCAAGACUGUUCAAAUACAGAGUAGCUCUAUCUCGGACCUGCACAUAGAAUGGCAUAUCUUAAUCACAAAGAGAAGCCAUAAUAUACUCAAUAUACAUCCAAACAAUAAGCACUUGCAGCAUCUGAGCAUGAUAUGGAAGGAUAAUCACUAGGUUCGGCUUUCAAUUAUAAGUUUCAAUCAUUUCCCAGCAGACUAGGGGCAAAAUAGAUCUUACAAUCCUCACAUAACAUGAAAGAUUAGUCAUUCCAAUUCCCAACUCCCAAGCAAACAAAAUGAAGUAUCAUAACACCAGAUUUCAAAAGAAUUUCCAACUUUACAUUCAUAAACAGGAAUAGUGGAACAAGUAUUUGUGAGACACGUCUCAUCUCCUUGGUAAGCAACUAAGCAUCAAAUUCAGACUUUCAGCAUGGGUGAUCUACUUGAAGGUUUCAAUGUAAUCACUAUUCUGCCUUGUGUAUUGUCCAUAAGUGGCAGGGCUUUCAACAUUACAAGACCAGAAAUCCUCAAUCACAUCAUUUCUAUAGGUGUUUAAACUUUAUUUAUGCUGUGUGGUAAUGAGAAAACUAAUUGAAAACUAAAUUAAAAUCAUCAUAAGUUAGUGCAAAAUUCACUGGAGCAUAACACUGACCUCAUCAUCAUUGUCGAACAGGCAACGCCUCAAUAGGAUAAAUAUGCGAGGCUGCAGCAAAGAUCAUAAUAUUUUUAAGUUAGGAAAUGGUCAUUGUUAAACAUAAUUUUAACAGAGCAGGUGUAGCAUUACCUUCAGGGAAUCAACCAGGGCACCAAAUUUUGCAAGUGUGCUGACGCACUGGCUCGCACAGUAGCAUUCUCAAGUAUUACUCGAUUGUAAAUAUAGCGGAUAUAUUUGCUAGGAUCUGAUGUCUUGGGUCCCUCAUUUCCAAGAAAGUGGAGUAUCUGGAAAACAAAACAAAGCAACAAAACUAAGCCCAAAACAAAAGCCAAAUGUGCUAGCAACAACGGCAGUGCUCUAGAAAGAAGGAAUUCUAGAUAGAUAGAAAGCAACCUGGGUAGAAAGAUAUGUAAAUUCACAAUCUUCAAUAAAUUCACACAAGUGCAGCAGUCCACUUUCUUUCGCAUCUGGAAUAUCUCUAAUUAAGAUCACAAUUGAAUCAACAAUUGCCUUCUUGUACUCAAACCCACCCUCUUCUCUCAAUAUAUUGCUUAAGAAAUUCAUCCUACAAGAAGCCACAUUAUUAGACAUUAAUAUUUAGAUAUGAAGAAUACAGCACCAUCAAAUUAUUCGAAUACAAAAGGCACUUGAUGUUUAGUUUUAGGCACACUCCACUUACAGGGAUCUGUACUUGAGUGGAAACUUCAAACACAGUGACCUUAUAGCUUCUACCACAACAAUCUUGAAUUCAUCGGCAAUAUCAGACAUGAAAUUUGUGAUCUGUUUCAUCAAGCGAUCAACACUAGAUUCAUUGCCAGUUUUCAGCAGUGUGGUAAUGGCAAGAGUAGCUAUGCUUCUAUUCUGGUCUGAAAUCAAGCUUUCCAUGUCUAUAUUACAGUUCGUGACAGCCAUUGGAUGUGUCAUGGCCACCUGCAUGCAAUUUAAGUUUGAAAUUCAUGAAAUAGUAAGUGCUAGCUUUAUAUAUAUCACUAUAAAAAGGGGGUGCUCAACGGAAUCAUAGAAAAAAGGACCAUGGAAUUUAAAUAUUAUCAUCCUACAAGCAAUAAGUACUGCUCUAACACUCAAGAUAAGAUACAAGAGCAGAAUCAUCUUGGGUGUGGACUCCACAUGAAGCAUCUCCUUUCACAAAAAGAAUGCAAUAUUGUCAUGCUAAACAUGAAUAUUACACAUCACGAGGCAAAAAAUGAAGACAUAAUUGACCAUUUAAAACUGUGGUCUUGCAAAUGGCACCAGUAUAGCUAACAAGGAUAAGGGUGGAGAACCUGUUGAGUCAAGCUUCAAGUAGUUUCAGCUGAGCUUUAUAAAAUAUAAAUACAAAGAAAUUUCCAUGCUAGGACUAUUCAGUCUGCAACACAAAUGUGUGGAAACUUUUGUGAAACCCAAACCAUUCUCUGCUCGAGCAGGUUUCAUAAAUAGCAUUCCAUUUGGAAAUAAGAGACCAUCAUGCUGAAGAACGUGAGCACACUAAUACAUGAAAUAAGAGAGAAAUAAUUAAACACAAUUCAGAUGAAUCUCCUACUAUAGGACCAGUACCAUUUGAUUCCUCAACAAUGUUACAUUAGGCUACCAAUGCUGAAUGAAAUUAAUGAUGUGAAGUCAGCAAAAUAUCUUUUCUUAUGUAAGACCAACUGAGAGAGUGAUGCCUUGAUCACAUAAAUGAUGUCACUAUUAUGGUCAAUGGUUUAGUUGUCCAUGUCCAAAUAACAUUAAAAAGCACCAACCUUAUUUAAUGUCCGAACAGCAGCAAACCUUAGCACAGGCUUCGAAGAACUUAAGAAAAGUUGUAAAACAGUUAUGGCGGGAGUCAAUUCCCUGGUUGUGACAUUGCUCAACUCAGUGAUUGCUUUGGCUGCUUCAAAGAUAACCAUUUCAGCUUUAUGACGGAGACAGCUCUCAAGAUAGUCAUAAAAUGGGCGGUCUCCAGUCUGAGAAUUAAACCAGUCUCUCGGAUAACCUAUGAGCUCAAUGAACAACUGCACAAUCAAUACUUGAACAAAAUUAAAACAAAAAGUGUUUCUUUGCAACUCUACGUUGGUAAGAAUAACACCUGACUAGUGUAGCGAAUCAAGAGGCACUGAGCCAAAGGAGAGCGAACAGUUCCCUUUGUCAAGCUUGUAACCAACUUGCUAACAGCCAACCGAUCAUUUUGUCGUAUCUGCAAGUUCAGAAAUAUGAUGUGUGAUCAAAUAAAAGAGGCCAAGCCCUUUUCAGGUGAAGCAAUACACACAAAACAUCAAAGUAAGCCAAGUUGUACUUGUACACAGUCAACGAAACUUCAAACUCCAUAUUUUCCAAACAGGAUAAUUGCAGAAACAUUAAGCAAGUCAAUUGCCAUUUUUUGAAAGUACAAUCUUAAAGAGGCUUAAGGAACAUAAAUAAUAAUUUGGCUUAUACAGAGCAAGAAGUAUAUGAGUUUAAUAAUGCAACCAAGAGGAGCAUGGUUUAUUCCAUCUGAUGAAAAUGUAUCUGCUUGCCAAGACUUCUUUUGGAAGAUCUGUUUUUAGAUAGAAGAUACAUCCAAGUUGUGUUCAGAGAGUAAGUUAGGCCACCUAUAAAAUGAUCAGAACUGAAGGAUUCAACACACAACUUAUUUGACAUCAGGUACCUAGAAGAAGACCCUUUUAGAAACUAAUACUAGUUCUUAAUUGAACUCUCCAUGACUAGAAAUCUAACUUGCAGAGUUCGGGGUAAUAUUCAUGCAUUUUUCACAAAUUAAGAUAAGAUAGAUCCAGGUUAGCAGUGAAGGAAAGUUCGUAAAUCCCAAUGAACAUUAAACUUCUUACCUGGUGCAGCAGAGCAAGGGCAUGAAAUUGUACAAGUGCAGCGCGCGAUUGAACAGCUUCUUGUACUUCAUUACUCCAUCUCUUGACUAUCUCCGGAGUUGUCUGUGACUAUAUUCAUAAGUACACUAACCACGGAAAGUAAGUAACUGGUGCAAUUCUCACAGAUCCAAUUAUUACCUGCAGCAGAUGAAUACCACUCACAAGGGCGGCACUUGCAACAACUGGAUUUUUAUCCACAAUAGCCUGCUUUAAGUAUCUCUCGAUUUGUGUCAAAAGUGUUCCAUCAGUGAUUCGACAAAGGACGCGGAUUGCAUUUGCUCGGUACAUAUCAGUGCGACUAUUCAUGUCUUUCAUUAAGGAGCUUGUUACAAUAAUAACCUUUAAUGCCGGAAAACAAAUAGUUUAGACUGGUAACUUCAAAAGCAUAGAACUAUUUAUGGAAGCGAAUGUAACAUCAGUAUGAAACACAUCUUCAAGGUACCUCAUCAGCAGAGGGAGAAAGAUCCUUUAUGAUUAGAUAUACCAUCCUUCUCAAACCAUUAUCUCUAGACUGAAACAGUUUUGUGACAGCAAAAAAUACUUCUGUGGCCUCGACCUAGAAAUUAUAGAAAAGAAACUGAAGAACAGUUUAAUAUAAUUAAAAAAAAAUAAUCACUUCAAAUCAAUGUUACUGAAGUGCCAAACUGCUUGAAACCUACAUUUAUCCUCUAAUAUGAUCUGAUUACUAUGUACAGUUAAGUUAAAUGUGUGUCAGGAGGACAGAGGUCUAUGUAUGUACAGUGUGUGCAUGCAUGAGAGAGAGAUCAAGAGUCUGUAACAGCUGCAGAGCUCGACCUUUGUGAAUGAGUCGCCCUGAUUAAGAAGAUACAAAAGCUUCGUGAUGACCUAGCAAGGAGAAAAUCAAAAAUCCAGAUUAGAAAAAUAGAAUAGAAUCAAAGAAAAGAAAAAUUAUUGAAUUCAAAUUGCAAGAACUGAUUACCUGUGAGCAUCGCCUAGCAUCUAACUGAGGGUCAUUGAAAACCCUAGCUUCCUGUAAUACCGCACCCUUCUCAAUCCCCAGAAAUGGCGAGUAAUCAGCUGCAAUAAGCAUUAUUGUAUUAGUUACUUCAGACCCAAAAGAAUGAUAUAUCUAUCUCAUGAAUGCACCACAAGAAUCACGCCACGGACUAUCCAUGCAGAUGCUGAUGAAUGACUCGGGGGAUGCUCGGUAUGAGGGUUUUGGAAUGAAACCCAAGGUAGUUAAUUCAUGCAGGGGAUCCAUGCCCCUAGAGGCCUACACCCACUUCCAUUUCCAAAAUAUAGGAAACAAGAUCCAUUCCCUACAACUAUCAAACCCAUAGGCAUACCUAUUCACAUUCCCUAUAAUACCAUGUAUCCCCUCGGUGUACUUGAACCUUGAAUGGACCCACUCAUCCCAAGCUAACAAAGAGGCCUAUCAAUCACUAUCCAAUACACUAAAAUAUUGCAAAUUAAAAAAUUUCUUUUCACGCAGACAGUAGUAGAAGAUUAUAAUGAUAAUAACCAUUGGGCUACCCCAGCCUCCAAAUGGAAGCAGGGCACAGGUAAUCAUAAGAAUCAAAAUGGUAUACCCCAGCCUCUAUGAUCCACAUCAUCAUGCUUGUCUUAUUGUCUAGUAUUAAUUCAAUGACUCCGAGAAUGCAGAAGAAACUGCAGAUCUAAAGCUUAAUUAAGUUCCGCAAAACAAUAUGCAAAUCGGAAUUGCAAUAAUAAACUGUUAAACUUAACGCCACUAAAUACAAAAUUCAAGCAUAUUCGUAAAAUUCUAACAGUGGUGAAUCAAAUAAACUACAUCGUUUGCAAAUUUUAAGAUAGAAUCAGGUUUCAUUGUGUGAUGGAUCAAGUGUAUAAGAUUAUCUAGAAUUCAAAUUCAUCACAAAUCAUACACUCCUGUAAUCCAGAAUUCGAACAGAUCUCAGAUCUGAAUCGAAUUUUAACUAGGAGAAGACGAUUGUAAAAUUGCCCUAAAAGAAACCCGAAAUGUAAAUUAGGAAGUAUGAAAAAAUGAAUCGGGAGUGUUAAAUUAAACUCGAAUCAGAAGAAAAGCAAGUAAUCAGAUAAUGGAGUUCCAGGAAUGCACCUUCUUCAUCGCGAUCAUCAUCUUUCUUGACAAGCGGUUGAGCCAUUGUGCAGAGAUCUGCGUAGGAGAACUAGAAAAACAAACUAAUAAGGUUAAUUGUUGCCUGUGCCUGAAUAUAAGUGUACAAGACGGAGAAUUAGCAAAUCUGCCAACGUCAGUUUCUAUUUAUUUGUGUAGAAUGGAGUGUAGAUCUCUCUCCCUCUCUCUGGGUUCCCAGAUGCAGCUUGACGAACAACCGAAGAUUUACUUGAGUGAUGUUAAUAAGGUUAGUGAGGGGUCAAUGGUGCGAUUGCGAAGGGUAAAUUCGGUAUUCCGUGUUUAAAGUGCACAUUUUUUUUUGCGUUGUUCCAAUUUAUAAAAUUUUCAAAAUAACAGAGGUAAAUAUUAUUUUAAAUCUUAAACUAUAUUCAUUUUAUUAGAAAUAUUUUGAAUUAUAUAAAAAAUACUCUGUUAAUUUAAACAUUAAUUAUUAACUUUGUGUCAAAAAUAUCCCGCAUUUAUAUUUCAACCCUUGAAAUUUCGACGUUACUUGUCGAAUGCUACUAUGUACAAUAAUUUUUAUUUUUUAAAUAACAUGGUACAAAUCGAAUGUCACUUGAAACCCCCGACUAUCAACUGUUGUAAAUAAAAUAUCUAGCGUCCAUUUUCUGGCCUCCAAAAUAUUGAUAUUUCUUAUCGGAUGCUAUUGUAUUAUUUUUAUUUUUAUUUUUAAAUACAUGACACAAAAUGAAUCUCAAACUAAUCUAAGUAGUCUACUUCUAAGACCAAAAUACCCUUCAGAAAGCCAUAACCAUAGACCUCAACGAAUUCGGACAAGUUCUCAAAUUGAUCGUCGUACUCACCAGAGCACCCGAUGUUUGAGAUGAAAUAAGACACAAAUGUUUGUGGAAAUGGAGCAGAGAAACCCCACGACCGUUGGUGAACAACUGAGCCACCAAACAUAAACCAUUGUUGUCUUAUGAUUUAUGUUGGUCCCGAGGCGAGUAUGUUCUGGUGUAUGAGAGGAAUACACCAUAUAUCAAAUUUUGCUCAUUUUCUGAUAGUAUUGAACAAUUUAGCUAGUAAUGAGCCAGCUAGAGAAAGACGUGUCAACUUGUUGAAAGCUACCUUACUAAUAAUUCAAGUACGCCUACUAACAAUAGGUGGACAGACAAUGAGGUUUCUGUUCAAACACGAAUACAGAAUUUGGUAGCUAGCAAAACUCACUUUAAUGAAAAUAUUUAAUGCGUGCACAAUAUCAGCGACUUGAAUCAAACUAAUAAAGUUUAGAAAUCAGUAUGUGCAAGUGAGUUUGUGUGAUGCAUAAGGUCAGCUUGCUGAAAGCUUUGACAGAUAGAGCAAAACUGAACCAAAAUAGAGAUUGUAAAAACAUAAUCAUUUUUCUUCUGUAGUUGUCUUGUUGGUUUGUGGACGGUUGAUAUAAUAAGGUAAGAACAUUUUCAAUAAAAUAAAAAGAGAAAACAUAAAGUACAACACACAAACAUUUUAACGUGAUUUAGAACAACUACUCCUAUGUCCACGACCCUGACAAACAUGGGAAUCCCUUAACCUUGAGUUUCUUGUUUUGUAGCUGCAAGUCAGCUUGACUAGUCAUAUCACCUUAGACUGAUCACACGGUUACGCGACCGUGACUGUUGCUUAGGCGAUUUCCCGAUUGCAAUUUCGUUACUUAGUAAUUUUUACUGUUGCAAUUUCGUCCUUUGCAAUUUACACAGUUGCAAUUAGGGAUGGCAGUGGAUCCUAGACCCGGUCCAGAUCCGUGGAUCCAGAUCCGAUUUUACGGAUCUGGAUCUCAAUUUUUUGGAUCCGCGGAUCUGGAUCCGGAUCUGGAUCUCAUUUUCUAAAACGGAUCUGGAUCUGGAUCUUGACAUUUGAGAUCCGGAUCCGACCCAGAUCCGACCAGUGGAUCCGAUUUAAUUUAAAAUAUAUUAUUUAUUUUUUAUAUUUAUUUUAUUAAUAAUAUUAGAUAUAUUAAAAAUUAAAAAUAAUAAAAAAAGGAUAACUUUGAAAACCUAAUUUCUAAGUCAUUUCUCUCUCCCCUCUCGGUUCUUCACCUUCUCACUCCUGCGCCGCCUGACCUCCAUCGCUCACUCACUCCCAUCUCCUUCUCGGCUCAGUCACACCGCCUCACCUCCAUCGCCGGUCGCCUCCUCCACUUCGCUAGCCAGCCCGCCGCCGGAGAAAUCGGGAACAGCAGCAGCAGUGCAGCACACUCCAGUUCGUGCGACUCCAGCCGCUUCACUCCCAUCGUCGGUCUCCUUCUCCAAUUCGUCCGCCCGCCGCCGACGAAGGCAGGAACAGCAGCAGCACACUCCAGUUCGGCCGCCUCUCCAGUUCGGCUCGCAGCACGCUCCAGUACGCUCGCUCCAGCAGCAGCACGCUCCAGUUCGGCUCGCCGCCAGACUCCACCACCGCGGCGCCGCCAUCGUUCAGCCACGAGCUUGUCUACCACAGGAUGCUCUGAAUCAAAGGUUAGAUUUUGAUUUUGGGCAUGUUUAUGACUGAAAUUUUGAAUCUGAUUUGAAUUGAUUUAUAUUCGAAAUUUAUGAAUGUUUGUCUUAGGUUAUUAGGUUCUGAUUUGGAUUGUGAAUUUCUGAAUUAGGUUCUGUAUUUGUUAUGAAGUUAUGAAGUUAGAUUUGUGAUUUUACAAUGGUUCUGCAUUUGUUAGAAUUGGAGCAGGAAAUUAAUCUUUUGAAGAUGAUGUUAUGAAGUUAGAUUGUGAAGUUAUUAGGUUCUGCAUUUGUUAGAUUAUGAACUUAUUAGGAAAUUGGAGCAGGAAAUUAAUCUUUUGGAGCAGCAAGAAAUGAUGUUAUAUUUGUUUUGUUUGUGUAGGAGAGUGAAAAUAAGUUGAAUGAAGAAGAGUUUGUUGAACAACUUGUGAAUGUGAUUGUACUUGAAGAUGAUUCCACCAAGGCUAAAGUCAUUGGAACCGCGGAACUUGAUUUUCAUGACGGAUAUUAAAUGUUGUUGAUUUUGUACAAUAUUUUUCAUGAUGGAUAUUAAAUAUUGUUGAUUUUGUGAAUUUAUUUGUGAAUUUAAUUUGAAAACAGUAGAUCCAUGGAUCUGGACCCGCGGAUCCGCGGAUCUGACGGAUCUGGAUCUGGAUCCAAAAUUUUUAGAUCCGCGGAUCUGGAUCCGGUAUAUGCAAACGGAUCUGGAUCUGGUAUUGGUCAGACCCGGUCCAGAUCCGGCCCGUUGCCAUCCCUAGUUGCAAUAUUGUACUUAGCCAUUUACGUAGUUGCAAUACUGUAGGCAGCAAUUUGCGCGAUUGCAAUCCCAUUACUUGGCAUAUAAUCUAAACCUCACGAUUCAUGAUAAUAUUAUUAUGAGGAAUUGAUGUGAUAAUAUUUUCCUUGGGGUAUUAUUGUGAUAACCUAUGUUUUUCACCUAAAAAGAACACAAGAUAAAUGUGGGAAGAUAAUAUUUUAUCAUCUUUCUUAUCCCUGUUUUUCUAAUGAUAAAUUUACAACCAAAGAAAAUGCACUCUAAAAAUACAUUUAUCAAUCAUUUUAUUAAAACGCAUGUCCUCUAUUUUAUCAUAUAAUUUUUAUGGAGGGAAGCAAUAUUAAUUUGAAUAAAAUAUUUGUACAUAAUAUAAAAUUAUGUAUUAAAACAAAUCAACACUACAAUCUUAACCACUCGAGUUGGGGCCAUUUGUACUUAAUUGAUUCGGUGCACAAUAAACUUUUCAAUUAGAAAAAAAAAAGAUUGAAACUUGUUUGAGUGGGUGCAAAACUGUCAUGGAAUCAGGACCAAAUAUGUUGAAAAGAAAGCUAGGACUAUAGAAGAGAAACGAGAAGAAGAAGCAAAUAAUAAAAAUCGGAUAUUGGGAAAAAAAAGAAAAAAAGAAAUUGAUUGAAAUGGAAGAAGGUUUGUGUUGUCCACUCGUAGGCUAAAUUAGAGGCUAUGGCACUCUUUAUGUUCCAUAGUCUGUUGCUAAGUUGAUAUUUGAUAACUUGUGGAGAUUAUUAUGUACCUCGUUUAAGAAAAAUUAACAUUUGCACCUUUUGCAAUUAGAGCUGUCAAAAUUAGCUUGGUGUGAUGGGCUGGUCCAAUUCAUCUAGAUUUAAGGUUGGUUGAGCUCCAUAAAAUAAAGGUCCGGAAAAAAAUCGACCUAAAAAGUUCGUUCAAACGAUUUGUUGGAUUGGCUGGGCUUGCCCGAAGUUUUUGGGCUUUUUGACCUGCUCGAUUUUUUUAUAUAUAAGAAAUAUUUGUAAGAAUAAAAAAUUAAAAAAAAUGUAAAACCAUUUUCUAUAUUUUUCAUAAACGGAAGGAACAUAUUUUUGCGAAUCAUAUAUAGUAUUUAUCGUGAAGUAAAGAAACGAUCCAUGCAUACACAUACAACUCUUAAAUGAUCAAAGAUACACAAAUUUGCAAAGUCCAUAGAUUUAGAGGGUGUUUGGCUAAGCUUAUUUAAAAGAGCUUAUAAGCUCUUGGAGCUUAUAAGAUGUAAUUUUUAAGAGCUUAUAAGUUGUCAAAGUGUUUGGAUAAUUGAGCUUAUAAGCUAGAGAGAAUGUUUUUGCUAGAGAGAGAAAAUAUUUUUUUAGAGAGAGAAAAUCGAAGAAAAAUAAACUUGAAUAAUAUAUAAUGAAAAUAAUAAAUUAUAGUUGAAAAAUAUUUGUAAAAAGAUUAAUGUUGCAUAUGAGAUUAUAAAAAAAUAAGUUGGAGUAGAGAAACUUAUUUUUUGGGAGCUUAUAAGUUCUUGGAGCUUAUAAACUGUUUAGAAGCUUAUUUUGCCAAACACUUUGAAGGAGCUUAUAAGCUCAUAAACAGCUUAUGAACUGUUUUGAGGAGCUUAUAAGCUCAGCCAAACACCCUCUUAAUCACCCAACUUGCAUUCAUUAAGAAAAGUUGGCUGCAAUACAACUGACAAUCCCUAAUGAAUCUCCAUCCUACCAAUUCCUAAGUAAAAAAAUCAACAAAUAAUUAAAAUAUGCAUCCAAUUCUUCUAAAAAAAACUCUAAAACGAACAACUCCUGUAAAAAGCCAAAACUUUAGAAACUAGAAAACUAGUGCUAUUCGCAGUUUCCGACUACCUUAUUAUUAGCAUGGAAAAUUAAUUUUUUUUUUUUUAUUUGAUUUGAUUUACAAAGGAAUCAGGGGCCGAGGUGGAAUCCCGUGUUGGGUCGUCUCAUUUCGUUGGAACUCGACUGAGAAUAGUCGCUGACGUCGCUACCGGUGGUGAAGCUUUGAUUAGACAUCCCGGCGGCCGACUUUUGAAGUCUUUGCAAGUCGUAUUCGGAGUUGCUCGCCGACAAUGAUCCCUGCGCCUUCAUCACUUCCUGCAGAUCGUCUAACGACACAUCGCCUUCCAGAGCCCGAACAACCUAAAUUUGUUCAUUUUUAAGUUUUCUUCACACUUGAAAAAAACAGGAAAGGAAUUGAAGAAGAACCUGGCUCAUUUUAGGACGUCUUCUUGCAGAUUGUCUAAUGCAGGCGGCGGCGGCGGUUACCAUACGAAGCGCUUCUCCAUGCUCAUAGCGGCCUUCUAGCCGUGGAUCCAUCAGCUCUACGUAGCUUCCUCCUUCUCCCACCACGUUCAUCAAAAUUGGCCGAGCCUGCAAUUGUGUCAUCAUAUAUUACUCCUAUAUUAGUUUAACGCAAAAGAAGAAGAAGAUGAACAAGUUGGUUUAAUUACCCAAUCAACUAGAGUGUCAUCAUCAUCAUCCCUAGUGAUGUCGACAGGGCGUCGUCCAGUUAUAAGUUCUAGAAGCACGAUCCCGAACGAGUACACGUCGGAUUUGUCCGUGAGCUUCCCGCUCGAAGCAUACUCAGGCGCCAAGUACCUGUAUUAGAUGCCAAUUCAUUCAAUUAUCUAAUUACCUUCUUAUAUAUAGUAAUGGUGUCCAUCUUUUUUUUAUCAUAAUUUGUUGCUACUACUUUGAAAUUUAAGCUACUGGGACUAUGAGUGGGAGAAAUUAGUUAAAUUUCGUACCCAAACGUGCCCAUUAUACGGGUUGAAACAUGAGUAUUGUUGUCCGACGAAAGCUUGGCUAAUCCAAAAUCAGCCACCUGCGUCACAUAUAUGAAAAUAUUUGAUAUAACAACAAAUUAAAUAGGAUCAGACUACAAACUCAUUUUAAAAUAUGAAUCAUAAAUUAUGAAAAAUAUGAUGGAUUCGUCAUGAAAAGUGAUAAAUGAAAAAUAAAUCGCCAUCAAUGGGAUUCUAACCAGGAGCACCAAUAAAACGAUAAAUCCAAAAGUAGAUCAUGAUUUCUAAUUUAUAUUUGAAAAUGAAUUUUCAUUUUUGAAUCCCUCGACAAUAUAUAUAAUUUCUGUUGCAUUCUAAAAAAAUGGUAAUUAUAUACAUAGAUAUCCAGUGGCAUACCUUGGCUUCAAAAUUGUUAUCAAGCAAAAUGUUUGCAGCUUUAAUAUCUCUAUGGAUAAUGCGAGGAUGACCUGCUCGUUUAAUUUGCAUAAUCAAUUAUAUAUGAGGACUAUAGCACAUGUAAUGUAAUGUAAUAUAGAGAAUUAAUGUAUUAGAACAUACAAUCUUCGUGAAGGUAAGCAAAGCCUUUGGCAGCACCCAAAGCAAUUCUGAGCCUAGUCGAAAACUCCAUAGACUGGCGGUUUGUUCCUGAAAGGCAUAUAUAUGCAGGAGAUGGAGUGAGAUGAGAAAUAAUAUAAUUAAAGAGAAAUUAGAUGAUGAUGAUGCGGCAUAUAUAGCAUUAAUUACCAUGUAGGUGAUCCUCGAGAGUGGAGUUGGGGACAUACUCAUAAACCAACAUCCGCUGGGAUCCUGCGAUGCAGUAGCCAACCAAGGACACCAAAUGGCGGUGAUGCACGCGGCUGAUGAUAUCCACCUCCGCUUGGAACUCGCGCUCCCCCUGCCCGCUGUUGGACUUCAAGCUCUUCACCGCCACUUCCUUCCCGUUCGGCAGAACCCCCUUGUGCACGUACCCGAACCCCCCCUGCCCCAGGAGGUUCGCCUGCGCGAAACCCCCUGUCGCCGCCGCCAGGUCGUUGUACGAGAAUGUGCUCUGGUUGUACCCGCUCCACAUCAUCGCCGGAUGCGGCGCGGCAGCGGCGGCCCCGAGAAUCCGCCCGAACUCUGCGCGCUCAGCAUCGGCGGAGGCGGGGGCGGGCCGGCAUCCAUUGCUCCGAGCUCACCCCGGAGGUCGCCGGCACCGGGUAUUUCAUGUUGCCGUCCAUGGUCCUGUACCCCGGUUGUUCUGCCAAUUUCCUGCCUAUGCGACGUGUUGUUGUAGUAGUUUCCGCUGUAUAUAUAAUACCUGAAAUUAAUUAUGAGGAAAUUACACUUCAACUUCUCAACUGUAUAUGAUCAAAGGCUUGAGAUAUUGGGAUGGCAAAUUAAUUAAAAAUGACAUGGACCAAAAUGAUACUAUGCAUAUAUUAUUGAUUGAUGAUGUUUUUGUGAAAGCGUAAAAAGUUUAAGAUUAGAAUUGGAAUUUAAGUGAUAAUAAAGGUAACGUACGUACCUGAAUUAUGAGGCUUUUCUUGAUAAUAAUUUUUACUAUCAUCGCGAUUCUUGCGUUUCUUCUUUCUACAACAACAUAUGCAGCAGAUGAUAAAAAAGAGGAUUACCAUUCCUACCCCUACCGCCGACCCUAUAAUGGCGUGCUCACGAUCUUUAUUACUCGGCGGCGGCCACGGAAAUGAGAUCGAUUCUGCUAGAGCUUGCGGAGGGCCGCCGCUCCAGUCUUCAUCUAAUUCGCUAGGCGACAGCAGCUGCGGCGGCGGCGGCCCUCGAGGCUUGGUGUUGUUGCUGGGUGGGGGACUUUUUCUCAACGGCGGAGGAGGCGAACUCCAAUUGGGUGGAGGCGGGGAUGACGCGGUGGGUGGUGGAGGGGGUGAGGACGACGCCGGUGGUGGCGGCGAUGAUGCGGUGGGUGGUGGAGGGGGCGAGGAUGAGAUCGGCGGCGGAGGAGAAGGCGCCGACAACGGCGCCGAUGACGUUUCCUGUAGUAUACGCAUGNGCAGGGGCAACAGGUAAUCAUAAGAAUACAAAAUGGUACUACCCCAGCCUCUAUGAUCCACAUCAUCAUGCUUGUCUUAUUGUCUAGUAUUAAUUCAAUGACUCCGAGAAUGCAGAAGAAACUGCAGAUCUAAAGCUUAAUUAAGGUUCCGCAAAACAAUAUGCAAAUCGGAAUUGCAAUAAUAAACUGUUAAACUUAACGCCACUAAAUACAAAAUUCAAGCAUAUUCGUAAAAUUCUAACAGUGGUGAAUCAAAUAAACUACAUCGUUUGCAAAUUUUAAGAUAGAAUCAGGUUUCAUUGUGUGAUGGAUCAAGUGUAUAAGAUUAUCUAGAAUUCAAAUUCAUCACAAAUCAUACACUCCUGUAAUCCAGAAUUCGAACAGAUCUCAGAUCUGAAUCGAAUUUUAACUAGGAGAAGACGAUUGUAAAAUUGCCCUAAAAGAAACCCGAAAUGUAAAUUAGGAAGUAUGAAAAAAAUGAAUCGGGAGUGUUAAAUUAAACUCGAAUCAGAAGAAAAGCAAGUAAUCAGAUAAUGGAGUUCCAGGAAUGCACCUUCUUCAUCGCGAUCAUCAUCUUUCUUGACAAGCGGUUGAGCCAUUGUGCAGAGAUCUGCGUAGGAGAACUGAAAACAAACUAAUAAGGUUAAUUGUUGCCUGUGCCUGAAUAUAAGUGUACAAGAGGAGAAUUAGCAAAUCUGCCAACGCAGUUUCUAUUUAUUUGUGUAGAAUGGAGUGUAGAUCUCUCUCCCUCUCUCUGGGUUCCCAGAUGCAGCUUGACGAACAACCGAAGAUUUACUUGAGUGAUGUUAAUAAGGUUAGUGAGGGGUCAAUGGUGCGAUUGCGAAGGGUAAAUUCGGUAUUCCGUGUUUAAAGUGCACAUUUUUUUUGCGUUGUUCCAAUUUAUAAAAUUUUCAAAAUAACAGAGGUAAAUAUUAUUUUAAAUCUUAAACUAUAUUCAUUUUAUUAGAAAUAUUUUGAAUUAUAUAAAAAAUACUCUGUUAAUUUAAACAUUGAAUUAUUAACUUUGUGUCAAAAAUAUCCCGCAUUUAUAUUUCAACCCUUGAAAUUUCGACAUGACUUGUCGAAUGCUACUAUGUACAAUAAUUUUUAUUUUUUAAAUAACAUGGUACGAAUCGAAUGUCACUUGAAACCCCUCGACUAUCAACUGUUGUAAAUAAAAUAUAUAGCGUCCAUUUUCUGGCCUCCAAAAUAUUGAUAUUUCUUAUCGGAUGCUAUUGUAUUAUUUUUAUUUUAAAUACAUGACACAAAAUGAAUCUCAAACUAAUCUAAGUAGUCUACUUCUAAGACCAAAAUACCCUUCAGAAAGCCAUAACCAUAGACCUCAACGAAUUCGGACAAGUUCUCAAAUUGAUCGUCGUAACCUCACCAGAGCACCCGAUGUUUGAGAUGAAAGAAGACACAAAUGUUUGUGGAAAUGGAGCAGAGAAACCCCACGACCGUUGGUGAACAACUGAGCCACCAAACAUAAACCAUUGUUGUCUUAUGAUUUAUGUUGGUCCCGAGGCGAGUAUGUUCUGGUGUAUGAGAGGAAUACACCAUAUAUCAAAUUUUGCUCAUUUUCUGAUAGUAUUGAACAAUUUAGCUAGUAAUGAGCCAGCUAGAGAAAGACGUGUCAACUUGUUGAAAGCUACCUUACUAAUAAUUCAAGUACGCCUACUAACAAUAGGUGGACAGACAAUGAGGUUUCUGUUCAAACACGAAUACAGAAUUUGGUAGCUAGCAAAACUCACUUUAAUGAAAAUAUUUAAUGCGUGCACAAUAUCAGCGACUUGAAUCAAACUAAUAAAGUUUAGAAAUCAGUAUGUGCAAGUGCAGUUUGUGUGAUGCAUAAGGUCAGCUUGCUGAAAGCUUUGACAGAUAGAGCAAAACUGAACCAAAAUAGAGAUUGUAAAAACAUAAUCAUUUUUCUUCUGUAGUUGUCUUGUUGGUUUGUGGACGGUUGAUAUAAUAAGGUAAGAACAUUUUCAAUAAAAUAAAAAGAGAAAACAUAAAGUACAACACACAAACAUUUUAACGUGAUUUAGAACAACUACUCCUAUGUCCACGACCCUGACAAACAUGGGAAUCCCUUAACCUUGAGUUUCUUGUUUUGUAGCUGCAAGUCAGCUUGACUAGUCAUAUCACCUUAGACUGAUCACACGGUUACGCGACCGUGACUGUUGCUUAGGCGGUUUCCCGAUUGCAAUUUCGUUACUUAGUAAUUUUUACUGUUGCAAUUUCGUCCUUUGCAAUUUACACAGUUGCAAUAUUGUACUUAGCCAUUUACGUAGUUGCAAUACUGUAGGCAGCAAUUUGCGCGAUUGCAAUCCCAUUACUUGGCAUAUAAUCUAAACCUCACGAUUCAUGAUAAUAUUAUUAUGGGGAAUUGAUGUGAUAAUAUUUUCCUUGGGGUAUUAUUGUGAUAACCUAUGUUUUUCACCUAAAAAGAACACAAGAUAAAUGUGGGAAGAUAAUAUUUUAUCAUAUUUCUUAUCCCUGUUUUUCUAAUGAUACAACCAAAGAAAAUGCACUCUAAAAAUAAUUUAUCAAUCAUUUUAUUAAAACCAUGUCCUCUAUUUUAUCAUAUAAUUUUUAUGGAGGGAAGAAUAUUAAUUUGAAUAAAAUAUUUGUACAUAAUAUAAAAUUAUGUAUUAAAACAAAUCAACACUACAAUCUUAACCACUCGAGUUGGGGCCAUUUGUACUUAAUUGAUUCGGUGCACAAUAAACUUUUCAAUUAGAAAAAAAAAAGAUUGAAACUUGUUUGAGUGGGUGCAAAACUGUCAUGGAAUCAGGACCAAAUAUGUUGAAAAGAAAGCUAGGACUAUAGAAGAGAAACGAGAAGAAGAAGCAAAUAAUAAAAAUCGGAUAUUGGGAAAAAAAAGAAAAAAAGAAACUGAUUGAAAUGGAAGAAGGUUUGUGUUGUCCACUCGUAGGCUAAAUUAGGGCUAUGGCACUCUUUAUGUUCCAUAGUCUGUUGCUAAGUUGAUAUUUGAUAACUUGUGGAGAUUAUUAUGUACCUCGUUUAAGAAAAAUUAACAUUUGCACCUUUUGCAAUUAGAGCUGUCAAAAUUAGCUUGGUGUGAUGGGCUGGUCCAAUUCAUCUAGAUUUAAGUUGGUUGAGCUCCAAAAAUAAAGGUCCGGAAAAAAAUCGACCUAAAAAGUUCGUUCAAACGAUUUGUUGGAUUGGCUGGGCUUGCCCGAAGUUUUUGGGCUUUUUGACUGCUCAUUUUUUUAUAAUAAGAAAUAUUUGUAAGAAUAAAAAAUUAAAAAAAAUGUAAAACCAUUUUCUAUAUUUUUCAUAAACGGAAGGAACAUAUUUUUGCGAAUCAUAUAUAGUAUUUAUCGUGAAGUAAAGAAACGAUCCAUGCAUACACAUACAACUCUUAAAUGAUCAAAGAUACACAAAUUUGCAAAGUCCAUAGAUUUAGAGGGUGUUUGGCUAAGCUUAUUUAAAAGAGCUUAUAAGAUGUUUCAAGAGCUUAUAAGAUGUAAUUUUUAAGAGCUUAUAAGUUGUCAAAGUGUUUGGAUAAUUGAGCUUAUAAGCUAGAGAGAGAAAAUAUUUUUUUAGAGAGAGAAAAUCGAAGAAAAAUAACUUGAAUAAUAUAUAAUGAAAAUAAUAAAUUAUAGUUGAAAAAUAUUUGUAAAAAGAUUGUUGCAUAUGAGAUUAUAAAAAAAUAAGUUGGGGUAGAGGAACUUAUUUUUUGGGGAGCUUAUAAGUUCUUGGAGCUUAUUUUUGGAGCUUAUAAGCUGUUUAGGAGCUUAUUUUGCCAAACACUUUGAAGGAGCUUAUAAGCUCCUAAACAACUUAUAAACUGUUUUGAGGAGGUUAUAAGCUCAGCUAAACACCCUCUUAAUCACCCAACUUGCAUUCAUUAAGAAACAUUCAUUAAGAAAAGUUGGCUGCAAUACAACUGACAAUCCCUAAUGAAUCUCCAUCCUACCAAUUCCUAAUUAAAAAAAUCAACAAAUAAUUAAAAUAUGCAUCCAAUUCUUCUAAAAAAAAACUCUAAAACGAACAACUCCUGUAAAAAGCCAAAACUUUCGAAACUAGAAAACUAGUGCUAUUCGCAGUUUCCGACUACCUUAUUAUUAGCAUGGAAAAUUAAUUUUUGUUUUUUUUUUAAUUUUGAUUUGAUUUACAAAGGAAUCAGGGGCCGAGGUGGAAUCCCGUGUUGGGUCGUCUCAUUUCGUUGGAACUGGACUGAGAAUAGUCGCUGACGUCGCUACCGGUGGUGAAGCUUUGAUUAGACAUCCCGGCGGCCGACUUUUGAAGUCUUUGCAAGUCGUAUUCGGAGUUGCUCGCCGACAAUGAUCCCUGCGCCUUCAUCACUUCCUGCAGAUCGUCUAACGACACAUCGCCUUCCAGAGCCCGAACAACCUAAAUUUGUUCAUUUUUAAGUUUUCUUCACACUUGAAAAAAACAAGGAAAGGAAUUGAAUAAGAACCUGGCUCAUUUUAGGACGUCUUCUUGCAGAUUGUCUAAUGCAGGCGGCGGCGGCGGUUACCAUACGAAGCGCUUCUCCAUGCUCAUAGCGGCCUUCUAGCCGUGGAUCCAUCAGCUCUACGUAGCUUCCUCCUUCUCCCACCACGUUCAUCAAAAUUGGCCGAGCCUGCAAUUGUGUCAUCAUGUAUUACUAUAUUAGUUUAACGCAAAAGAAGAAGAAGAUGAACAAGUUGGUUUAAUUACCCAAUCAACUAGAGUGUCAUCAUCAUCAUCCCUAGUGAUGUCGACAGGGCGUCGUCCAGUUAUAAGUUCUAGAAGCACGAUCCCGAACGAGUACACGUCGGAUUUGUCCGUGAGCUUCCCGCUCGAAGCAUACUCAGGCGCCAAGUACCUGUAUUAGAUGCCAAUUCAUUCAAUUAUCUAAUUACCUUCUUAUAUAUAGUAAUAGUGUCCAUCUUUUUUUUAUCAUAAUUUGUUGCUACUUUGAAAUUUAAGCUACUGAGACUAUGAGUGGGAGAAAUUAGUUAAAUUUCGUACCCAAACGUGCCCAUUAUACGGGUUGAAACAUGAGUAUUGUUGUCCGACGAAAGCUUGGCUAAUCCAAAAUCAGCCACCUGCGUCACAUAUAUGAAAAUAUUUGAUAUAACAACAAAUUAAAUAGGAUCAGACUACAAACUCAUUUUAAAAUAUGAAUCAUAAAUUAUGAAAAAUAUGAUGGAUUCGUCAUGAAAAGUGAUAAAUGAAAAAUAAAUCGCCAUCAAUGGGCCGGGAUUCUAACCAGGAGCACAAUUUCAUACAAUAAAACGAUAAAUCCAAAAGUAGAUCAUGAUUUCUAAUUUAUAUUUGAAAAUGAAUUUUCAUUUUUGAAUCCCUCGACAAUAUAAUAUAUAUAAUUUCUGUUGCAUUCUAAAAAAAUGGUAAUUAUAUAAUAGAUAUCCAGUGGCAUACCUUGGCUUCAAAAUUGUUAUCAAGCAAAAUAUUUGCAGCUUUAAUAUCUCUAUGGAUAAUGCGAGGAUGACCUGCUCGUUUAAUUUGCAUAAUUAAUUAUAUAUGAGGACUAUAGCACAUGUAAUGUAAUGUAAUAUAGAGAAUUAAUGUAUUAGAACAUACAAUCUUCGUGAAGGUAAGCAAAGCCUUUGGCAGCACCCAAAGCAAUUCUGAGCCUAGUCGAAAACUCCAUAGACUGGCGGUUUGUUCCUGAAAGGCAUAUAUAUGCAGGAGAUGGAGUGAGAUGAGAAAUAAUAUAAUUAAAGAGAAAUUAGAUGAUGAUGAUGCGGCAUAUAUAUAUAUAGCAUUAAUUACCAUGUAGGUGAUCCUCGAGAGUGGAGUUGGGGACAUACUCAUAAACCAACAUCCGCUGGGAUCCUGCGAUGCAGUAGCCAACCAAGGACACCAAAUGGCGGUGAUGCACGCGGCUGAUGAUAUCCACCUCCGCUUGGAACUCGCGCUCCCCCUGCCCGCUGUUGGACUUCAAGCUCUUCACCGCCACUUCCUUCCCGUUCGGCAGAACCCCCUUGUGCACGUACCCGAACCCCCCCUGCCCCAGGAGGUUCGCCUGCGCGAAACCCCCUGUCGCCGCCGCCAGGUCGUUGUACGAGAAUGUGCUCUGGUUGUACCCGCUCCACAUCAUCGCCGGAUGCGGCGGCGGCAGCGGCGGCCCCGAGAAUCCGCCCGAACUCUGCGCGCUCAGCAUCGGCGGAGGCGGGGGCGGGGCCGGCAUCCAUUGCUCCGAGCUCACCCCGGAGGUCGCCGGCACCGGGUAUUUCAUGUUGCCGUCCAUGGUCCUGUACCCCGCGUUGUUCUGCCAAUUUCUCUGCCUAUGCGACGUGUUGUUGUAGUAGUUUCCGCCUGUAUAUAUAAUACCUGAAAUUAAUUAUGAGGAAAUUACACUUCAACUUCUCAACUGUAUAUGAUCAAAGGCUUGAGAUAUUGGGAUGGCAAUUAAUUAAAAAUGACAUGGACCAAAAUGAUACUAUGCAUAUAUUAUUGAUUGAUGAUGUUUUUGUGAAAGCGUAAAAAGUUUAAGAUUAGAAUUGGAAUUUAAGUGAUAAUAAAGGUAACGUACGUACCUGAAUUAUGAGGCUUUUCUUGAUAAUAAUUUUUACUAUCAUCGCGAUUCUUGCGUUUCUUCUUUCUACAACAACAUAUGCAGCAGAUGAUAAAAAAGAGGAUUACCAUUCCUACCCCUACCGCCGACCCUAUAAUGGCGUGCUCACGAUCUUUAUUACUCGGCGGCGGCCACGGAAAUGAGAUCGAUUCUGCUAGAGCUUGCGGAGGGCCGCCGCUCCAGUCUUCAUCUAAUUCGCUAGGCGACAGCAGCUGCGGCGGCGGCGGCCCUCGAGGCUUGGUGUUGUUGCUGGGUGGGGGACUUUUUCUCAACGGCGGAGGAGGCGAACUCCAAUUGGGUGGAGGCGGGGAUGACGCGGUGGGUGGUGGAGGGGGUGAGGACGACGCCGGUGGUGGCGGCGAUGAUGCGGUGGGUGGUGGAGGGGGCGAGGAUGAGAUCGGCGGCGGAGGAGAAGGCGCCGACAACGGCGCCGAUGACGUUUCCUGUAGUAUACGCAUGAGAUUACCCCGCUUCCGUGCAAUAACCUAAUUAAGAGUUACGUUAUUAAUCUUAUGUCAAACAUAAUAGUAUUGAACAUGAAAUCUUUAAAAUUUUAAGAUAAUUAAUGACAUUAAUUCAUGGAAUUGGAAGUGAAGCCACACAAGUGGAGAGGCGGAGAGAGUGAAGAGAGAGAAGGGAAGGGAAGAAAAUGAAUAGUAUACCUAGAGAUGAUUCUCUAAAGAUGCUGCUUUCAACGAAGAAAACUAGUAAACUAUGACCCUCUUCCAUAAGUCUCCUACAACAAUGGAAAUCAACUGUCGUUUUCUAUUUUUAGGUCUUUUUGUUACAUGAUCCGAAUAAGUUGUCGUCUAAAGUAUUUCAAUUUCGCUUACAAAUUAUUCACUACACGUCAUGCUUAUACUACAAUAUAAGUAUACAACUUAAAUAUAGCAGUAAAUUGAGGAUCUCAUUCUAUUUGUAAACCUAUUAUUUGGCCUUAGCUAUCCAAAAAUAAUAGAGAACAUUAUUCUUAGACAAGAUAUAUUUUACAUCUUAAUUAUCGUAAAUAAUUGCAUUUUUUAUAUAUAAAAAAGAAAAAAGAAGUAUGUGGAAAUAAAUUCAAUUUGAAAGGUAAAAUUAGAAUCCAAAAAAAUUACAUGAUUCACUAGCUACCAUAUUGAAAACGUUGGCACACUUCAAACAAAUAAUAUAUUACCUCCAUCCCCAAAUAAUUUUCUAAAAGGAGACGACACAAAUUUUAAGGAAAUGUUGUUAAGUGUAUUGGUAGUGAAGAAAAAGUGUAUAAUUAGUAUUGAAAAUGGUAAAAAGGUGUUAUAUUAGUAUUGAGAAUUGUGAAAUGUUGAAAAAUAAGAAUAAAUAAAGUAUUAUUAGUGGCGGGGUAAUAUUCCAAAAUGGAUAAAAAGUUAUUUGGGGGACAUCACAAAAAGAAAAUAUAGAAAAUUAUUUGGGGGACGGAAGGAGUAGUUAUUUUAUAAAGAAAAUUACAAAACGAUUUCAGUAUAAAAAGGAUUAUGUGAACUUUCUUUAAAAUAAUACUAAUGUAUCUAUAUAUCGGUUGUAUUAAUUAUUAUAAAUCUAUAAAUAUUAAAAGUUGAAUUUUAAUAUUAUUAUAUUUUAAAUAUAUAAUCCAUGUGCAUCGCACAUGCGGUAUACUAUAUAUAUAUAAAAAUAUGUAAAUAAAUUCAAUUAGAAGGAUAUAAUUGAAAAUUCACAAUUGAAAUAUCUAAUAAAUAGAUACUCAACUAGUUUAUACCAACAUGCAUGUAGUAUAAAUAAUCAAACUAAAUUCACGUUUUUUUUUUCAAAAAAGAAAAAGGAAAAAAAAUGAAUUCACUUAUCCAACCAACAAUUAAGGCAUGAUAACUUAGGAUUGUUUUAGGGUUAAUGCCAUGUAAAACCAUGACUUUUGGGCAUAUUCUGAUUUUAACCUCUGACAAAAAAUUAUACUUGUAAAACCACAAACUUUGAGUACAUUCUGAUUUUAACCUUUAUCAAAAGAUUCAGCCUGUAAAAUCGCAAACUUUUAAUUAUUUUUUAUUUUAACUAUGAGAACAGUAUACGACCACAUACAUAAAUUUAACUAGAGUACAUUCUGCAUGAUUGUAAUUAGGGUAUAUUUAAUUUAUUUAUUUUUUUAAGUAUGAAACAACAUCAUUUAACACUACAAAAAUACGUGGGAUUGUCGGCCGAAAUUACCGGCGGCGACACGUAAUAACUGGCGGCCCUUCGACGGCGGAAGAGCUGACCCGUUUUUUUAAAAAACAUGGGCGCAAGUACCGACGGCACCAAAGCCGUCGGUGAUCACCAGGGGCAUUACCGCCGGUAUUAAAGGUUGCCGCCGCUAAAUAUGUUUUAUUAUUAUUUUUUUUAAUAAUACCGGCGGCUCAUGAUUGGCGGCGGGAGUCGACGCCGCCGGUAAAUGCGAUGCGGGUCGGCCAUUACUGGCGGCCCAUGCCGCCGCUAAUUUAAAGGCCCAAAUACGGGCAUGCUGCUAGGGCAGCAACACACCCGCCGUCCCCCCCUUCUCUCUCAAGCUCCAGCCCCCUCUCGCCGCUCGCCGCCGCCGUCGUCGCCAUCCGCCGCCGUCCAGGUAAGCUCCCUUCUUCCUUUGUGUCUUUCUCUCUCUGACCCUCUCUCUCUCUCAUUUCAGCCCCGCCACCGCUAUCGCCACCACCACCGCUCCGCCGUCGACCACUACUGUACGCUCUCAUUCUCGCCAUUUUAUUUAUUUAUUCAUUUACUAUUAUUUUGUUAGAUUAAAAUAAUAUUAAUUAGAUUAAUUUUAUUUAAUUUAUAGUAUGUUUAGUUGUGAAGUAUGAUUAAUUUUAUGUUUACUUAUGAAUUAAUAAAUAAAUAUUUUUUUCGAUAGAAAAAUAAGGACGGAAACGAGACCGAUCUGUAAUUAACAACAUCUCUUGGAUAUCAUCUCGACAUAUUCUAAGGUUAUGAAUAUAUGAUAUUAUAUAUUGAAAUAGACUUUAAAUGAAUUAAUAGGUACUAGAUAUAUCAAUAAUACGAGUGUUCUGUACUGGUGACCACUCGAAAGGAACUUCAAGGUUAAGCGUGCUUGACUUAGAGCACAACUAAGAUGGGUGACCGACUGGAAAGUUCGUCUAACGUAUGCAAUACUGUAUGAAUACGAAAAUACUUGUGGGUAUAAAUAAAUAAAUAAAAACAAAUUACCGGCGGCAGGUUGCCUCCGCUAAUCACCGGCGGCCAAAAAACGCCGAUCAGGUGAGCGGCGCGCCACCGCUGUCCGGUCAAGGUUACCGACGGCGACUUUGCCGCCGCUAAUCACCGGCAACUGGCGAGUGGCACCACCGCCGUCCGGUCAAUAUUACCGGCGGCGGUGGCACCGCCGCUAAUCACCAGAGGCCCAUGCCGUCGGUAAAAGUCCGGCAUAGCUCCGCCGAUCGAUGGUGACAUUCAAUGGCGGCGUCACCGCCGUUAGUUACCGGCGGCGGCCAUUUGCUGGCCGCCGCCGGUAUAUGAAUCACCGACGAGGAAAUUACAGGCGACAACCCGCCGCCGGUGAUCUCAAUACCGACGACCGCCCUAUGUUUAUCGACGGCAAACGCCACCGAUAAUCUCAAUUUUUUUUGUAGUGUAACAUUUAUUAAUCACAUCAACUAGUUAUAAGCCACGUAAGAUUAAAUUCCACGUACGUGAUCAGAUACUAUUCACGUAGUUAAAGUCGGAAACAUUUGAAAGUUCGUGAUUUUACAGCCAGAAUCUUUUGUUAGAGGUUAAAGUGAGAAUAUGCCCAAAGUUCAUGGUUUUACAUGCAGAAUAUUUAUUUAGAGGUUAAAACCAGAAUAUGCCCAAAGUUUUUUAUGAGCCAUUACUAAUCCAUUGUUUUAUUUGCAUAGAUCAUUUAUUUUCUUUUUACAUUUAAAUGCGUUCUAAGUAAAAUACGCAAUAUGUAUAUCAAAUAACAGUGUAUAAAAAGAGGUUGAAUUUAAAAUGAAUAUGUUAUAAUAAUUUAAUUUUUGAGCAUAUUACUUGAAUGAAAUAACUUUUUGAAUUUGAAUGUAGUUAUAAAUGUCACAUAUUUUAAAAAUACUAUCAUAUUAUAAUAAUAAUAAUAAUUGUUAUCUUAAUUACUAGUAUAUAUAUAAACAGAAGAAUGAAUAAUUUAUUUUAAAAUAGGAUUAAUAUUCUAAAAUAGCUAUUAAUGUAUUAUUACUACUACUUAAAAAUGCAAGUUCUCAAGAAGAAAUCAAAUUAUUUUGUUACUUAUGGACUAUUUAGUUUUAGUUUAUUAUGUUUUCUCUUUAUUGUGCAUUUUUUUUCUAUUUUUGUAUAAUUUUCUUGGGAUAAAAUAUGCAAUAUUUAAUUAUGUAUAUAUCUUUAAAAAAAAGAUCAUGAAUAACCUUUAAUUUGAUAUAUGAAAGGUAUAAUUCAAUUUAAAUGAGCAAAUUAUGAAAAUUUAAAAUUUGUGUGUAUAUAUAUAUAUAUAUAUAUAUAUUUCACUUUUUAGUUUUUUUUUAAAGAAAAAAUUAAUUUUCUCAAAAUUUGAGAUUACUGACAUGCUUAAACAUCUUGAAAUCCCGAAAUUAGCUUGAUCUUCGACGUGGUGUAGAUGACAUGUGACUUCAUCAUCUUCGGCGCAUGAAUCUCGACGACUUCGUCAUCUUGAACAAAUUGAGUUUCGUCCAAGUUGAUAGGAUCAAGACCUUGAUAGUAGAAUGCAUUGGAGGCUUGAGUAAAUGAUGAGAAGCCGAUAGGGGAAGAAUUUGGUAUCGAUAGAUGACGAAUUUGGUUGGUUGAAGAGCCAAUUGUUCAAGUCACGUUCUAUUUUUUUUCAAGAGAAAGAACAAGAACGAAAUUUAAAUUGGAAGAAGAAGAAAUGAAGAAGUAUAUAUUUAAAUGUGAUGUAAAAAAUGAAUGAAAAUAAGAGGUAUUUAUAGGAUAAAUUAGAUAAAGAAAAAGGGAAAAUGUUAUUGCAGCAACAUCUAUUUAACAAAAAUAAAAUGCUAAACAAUAAAAUUCCAAAUUUAAUAUAUAUAGGGAGAGGUUCACGAAAGAACCACUAAAUAAAAGAAGAACGGAGAACUAUUUUCAGCCAUUCGAUCAUCAAGAUCUACGGUGGAUGCAUCAUCUUGUUGGAUGAAUGCAGAUCCUGGGUUCGAAUCCUGAAGGGAGCAUUUUUUUUUAAUUUUUAGUUGCUAUUAAUUUUUAACAGUCGUAAUUGCUAUUAAUUUUUACAGUUGGAUGCUAUUAGAUGGUUNUAUAUAUAUAUAUAUAAUAUAUAUAUAUAUAUAUAUAUAUGGUAGGUUAAUAUAAAAACCCCUCUUAAAGAUGAAAACUAGGAAUCAAUUUAAAGCCAUUGAUUUAAAUAAAAUAGAGGGCUGAGAUUAAACUACAGAUGCACAAUUUCGAUUGCAUAGAUGCACAGUUUCAAUUGCAUAGAUGCACAAUUUCGAUUUGCUUGAGUAUUUUGCAUUGUUGGUUUCAAUUGCAUAAAUUGCAUAUUUUUUAAGUGCACAGUAAAAUAUAAUAGAUGCACAGUUUCUUUUGUUGACUAAAUCCUAACCAUUAGAUCUAAUAUUUAAAAGGUCAAGAUUAGGUUCCUAGUUUUCAUUUUAACAGAGGUUUUUAUUAGAACAUCUUCCUCUAUAUAUAUAUAUACUAUAUAUAUAUAUAUAUAUAUAUAUAUAUCUAUUGGAGAUAGUGAAAAUUAAUAAUUGUUCGUAUAAUAUUAUUAUACUCCCUCCGUCCCUAAAAUAACUUCCUCUUUUUCCAUUUUGGGACGUCCCCCAAAUAACUUCCUCUUUCUUUUUUCCAUUUUUGGACACCUACCCCACCACUAAUAAUACUUUAUUUAUUCUUACUUUUCACUUUUCACCACUCCCAAUACUAAUUAUAACACCUUUCACAACUUUCAAUAAUAAUUAUAUCACUUUUUUUCCACUAUCAAUACACUUUACAACUUUUUAUUAAAACCCGUGCCGUCCCCAAAGAGGAAGUCAUUUCAGGGACGGAGGGAGUAAUAAAAUAUAGUUAAUUUUAACUGUUUCGAAUGAAAUUAUCUUCGCCUUUAAUAUAUUUAUUCUACAAAAAUUAUUGCUCUCUUUUUUUUCUCUCUCACCUUCGCUAUUUGUUUCUCUCUGAAAUCCUACUUUUUUCACCGCGCCACCGAGCUGCUCUCUCUCUCUCUUUGAUGUCACACGUAUGCAGUCGUCAACAUUAUCUUAUUCAGAUAUACUUCUAAUGGAGAUCUAUGAGAAUUAUGAGAUGCAAGAUGGAUUUAAAAUGAACAGAAUGAAUUUAUAUCAUCCGUUUCAAGACCUGUCAUCUCAGGUGGUCAACACGGCAAUUAAUUAGCACCAUGCACAAUAGGUGCUUGUGCCUAGAGCAUGGAUCCAUUUGCGAAAGCUCUCCAAUGGUAACCCAUUAGUUAUAGCAUAUAGUUAGGAAUCAUUGGUGAAGAUCCUUAGUGGUAUCCAUAUCAAAUCAUUGUAGAAUCGGUUCUGGCUAUAAGUUAGAUUCGCGAGAUUUGGGUUUAUGUUGUUAUUAUUCUGUAAGAUUUGUACUUGUUUUUGUAGUUGGGAUUAUUGUAAAAUAAAGAAUAUGAAUUAAAUACUCCCUCCGUCCGCCAAAAGUAUUCCACUUUGGCUGGGCACAGAGUUUAAUAAAAUGUGUGAUGAUGUUGAUGUAGUGGAGAAAUGGUCCCACCACUUUAUGAGAUGUGUGGUUGAGAUUGAAUUUGGGGUGGAUCUUUUGUAAAUAAAGAGUGUUUGUAAGGAUAAAAUAUAAAGGUGGAUAAUGGGACCAUGGCUUAAAAAGGAAAGUGGAAUACUUUUUGCGGACGCCAAAUAUAGUAAUUGUGGAAUACUUUUGGCGGACGGAGAGAGUAUUAUUUUUGAAUUUGUGUUAUUUUUAUAAAUUUGUGUUAUUCCUUAUUAUUUCACAUUUUUAUCGUGCAGGCACAUGGGACGAAUGGUACUAAUAUUUCAUUUUGCACCAUUCGUCCCAAGAUCUGUUAUUGCCUAUUGUUGGAACGAAUGGUAUGAAAUGUCAUAUUCGAACCAUUGGUCUAGUUGAUGUCGUGCAAAAUAUUGAGAUGAAUGGAACGAAAGGACAUAUAUAUUCACAUCAUUCAUGAUAAGGUCUUUCGCGCUUGUGUUGAUACGAGUAGGCCCUUUGACACUUCAUACCAUUCGUCCCAACAUUUUGUCACAAUAAAAGUAACACUUAAAAUUAGGAGAAAUGGUUCGAAUAUGCUAUUUCGCACCAUUCGUGUCAAACACUUGGCGCGACAAAGAAUGAGAUGAAUAUUCUAUAUCGCAUCAAUCGUCCCAAUAUCUUUCUCGCCAAGGGUUUGAUACGAAUGGUAUCAAUAUUUCAUUUCGUAACAUUUGUGCCAAAGUCUGUCGCACAAAGUGUUGGAAUGAAUGGUAUGAAAUGCAAAAUGGCCUACUCGUGUCAACAUUAGCGCGAAAGACCUUGAGGCUAAUUGUGUGAAAUAACAUAUUCGUACCAAACACUUGGUGUGAAAGACAUUGGGACGAAUGGUUCGAAUAUGACAUUUGUCCCACAAAAAUGGCGCAAUAAAAAAUAAUACACUUGCAGUUUGUUCUAACAAAUCCAACUAUAAUUGAUUAACAUAAUUCGAAUCAAUAUUUUCUUCAUUUUCCAAACAUACAAUUACAAAUCAUAUGAGAAAAUCAACGCAAAAUCUUAUAACUAACACAAAAUCGAACUAGAAUUCCUAAGCUAAAUCUUCAUUUUUCAUCAUUCCUUCACUUUCUUGCACUGAAGAAAGACAUCGUGCGGGGGGGUGACAAUGAUGAAUAGGAGAAGGCUAGAGAAUGUUCUUCCUCACCUCAAUCCUAUGUACUUGGCACAGAUGGAACAAAUUCAUCUCUGGUUACGCACUCUUCACGAUUGGACCACAAUUAUUUUUCGUUUCACUCGUUCCUCGCAUAUGCGAGUUACGUUCCUCGCAUAUGCGAGUUAGAUCUCCGGGUGGCUGGCACGAUCGAAUUGAUCCAUUGGCAUAAUUCGUAUCAGUCCUGACAGAUCUUUGUAUGGACAACAUGAAUGGGGCUAAUAGGCACGUUGGUCCCUUCCAUUCCUCUGUUUGAUACGACAAAUAAUGGAAUGGAUGGUACGAUUUCGUACCAUUUUAUUCCAGAUCUUCUUAGAUCUAGUUUUGCAUCUCAUGACUUUCAUAAAUCUGGAACUCCUUGAAUUGCUGGAACUCGUAAAACUCAUACUCCCUCCGUCCAUGAAAGAACUUCCUAGGAUGGAGUAACCCGGGUUUUAAGAAAAAAUAUUGUUGAGUUUAUUGAGAGUGGAUAAAAGGUAGUUGAGUGUAUUGGGAGUGGUAAAAAGGUGUUAUGAUUAAUAUUGAGAGUUGUGAAAAGUGAAAUGUAAGAUGAUUAUAAGUGGUGGGGUAUAGUCCAAAAAUAGGUAGGAAAUUCUUUUGUGGACGUCCCAAAAAUGAAAGAUAGGAAGUUCUUUCGUGGACAGAGGGAGUAUUUCACUGCAUUCUAUGAGGAGAUAAUAUUGACGGCGACAACAAAGAAAGAGAGGGAGUAGCGAAAGAGACAAAUAUUUGGAGAGAGAUACUUAAGAGUGGAGGAGGCGCGGCGACAUAACUAGGAUUUUAAAGAAAGAGAAAGAGGAAGUUCUAAAGUAAUGAGGAGAGAGAGAGAGAGAGAGAGAGAGAGAGAGAGAGAGAGAGCCGUAACUGUUCAAUCGAAUCAAAACCCGGAUUCAAUUUGGAUCGCCUGUCUGGCAACACGCACGAAGAGAUAGAGAGAGACGCCUUUUGUCGCAGAAACUUUAGAUCGGGUCAACUUCCCAGUCCGAACCCGAAACCAUGCCGUCUCGUAGAAGAGCUCUCCUCAAGGUCAUCAUCCUCGGCGAUAGCGGGUCUGUUUUUUCACUAAACUCGAUUGUUUAUCUGUGAAUUGGUCGAUGUGAGAGAAUUCUCGCCGUUUCGGAUUUGAUUGGUUUAAUUUAUUCUUCCAUACGCGAAAUCGAUGAAAUUAGGAUGAUGGAUCGAUUCAAUUCGAACUGAUUCAGAUUCAUUCACAUGAGUUUGGAUCUCGAAUUCUGUUGAAAGGAAACGAAGUAGUGAAAUUUUUGAGAAUUGAAAUUUAUUGCAUGCUAUUCCUGUUAAAAUAAUACCAAGUCGGACUCUUUACUUAAGAUGCAAUCAAUAAGAGUGAGAUGAAAUAAUUUGCAAAUAAGCAAAACGCGGGGAAAUUAUCGAGCCUGUGAGACAAAUUUGUUUAGUAGUUUUCCGCUCUAAAAUCCUAGCCAAGCAUAGGUUAUAAUGACCUACCUAUAUAUGUCUAAGUGUGUUCUUCUGUACAAAUUGGGUUGAUAGCUAAUUGGUUAAUGUAUUUGUGUAUGUUUUUUUCAGGGUGGGCAAGACCUCAUUGAUGAACCAGUAUCCUCAAUCCUACUCAUUUGUUACAAUAAUUGCUGAUGUAAAAUGUAAUUUACUGCUUCUGUUAUGAAAAACUCGUUCGUGUUAUUAUUUGUAUGAUGUGCUCUUGACUUGUUGAUUAAAGAUAUGUAAACAAGAAGUUUAGCAACCAAUACAAGGCGACAAUUGGGGCAGAUUUCUUGACAAAGGAAGUGCAGUUUGAGGAUCGGCUUUUCACUUUACAGGUACGUACGGAAGCUGCUUGUUUUAUCUUUCUAACAAUUAUCGCAUGUGAUUCAAUUCGACUGAACAAGUAAACAUAAAUUUCAAGUUUCUUAUACAUGUUCAUAACAAAGAAAUAGUUUUGCUCCUCUCUAAUAUAGCUGGUUCUGACUCAAUCUGAUGAAGAUUUGCUCUAAAAUGGAUGGGCCUUUAGAUGCUAUAACAAUUCUGUUUAUUUACACAUCACAGUUGUGAUAAUAAGUAAAGAGAGUAUAUUUUUCUUUAUUUAAAAGUUCUGAGCUUUAAAUUUGGAUUGUGAAAAAUAUACACACCUUGAUAAAGCCAUUGGAGAAUCACAUCAUACAGCUCAGUUUAGACACUGGAUAUGUAAUCAUAUUACUGAUAUUUGUAAACUGUUUGUCUUCAUACUAUCUGUUAUCUUCCUCAUUAUAAUCCCUCUUAUGCCCUAUGGUUGGGUCUGUGUAUAAUUAGAUAUGGGAUACAGCUGGCCAAGAAAGAUUUCAAAGUCUUGGGGUUGCUUUCUACCGUGGUGCCGAUUGCUGUGUGCUUGUCUAUGAUGUCAAUGUCAUGAAAUCUUUUGACAAUCUUAAUAAUUGGAGGGAAGAGUUCUUGAUUCAGGUAUUUGCAGUUCUUAUUUCGUCUGAGAAUACCCUCCUCCAGUUCGCUCGUUUUUUUCCCUUCAAAUCAAUAUAAGCUCAAGAUCCACUGAUAAUUUUUUUUAAAAUUAUAUUUGAGCAUGAAUCUUAUCACGCAUCAACCCUCAUUUCUGCAAGCAUAUUGCCUUGUGAUGGGUUUAGAUUAACAAAUAAGUAUUUUUCUGCAUUAAGUAAAUUAGAAUGCGUAUAUAUGCAGAUAAAGGGGAAGGAUUGUAGGGUAAAUUUUUCAGGAUAGGUUUCACCUUUUUAAUGUGUUCUUCAUGUUGGGGGACACAGGUGAGAAGGUGGUCUAAGUUACUGCAACUUGAAAUUCUUCAUGACAUAUUGCCAAAUGUUACUUAAGAAUUCUUACAAUACGAGUAGUUAAGUUGUAUCAAAAGCCCUGAGUUUGAUAUUUCUGAUAAAGAAAAUAAUUUUUUUAUCCUAAUGCAAUUGCACAGCUUAUAUCUAUCCUAUAAUGGAAAAAAUGGAAACAUACUAAUGAAACAGAAGUUAUUCUGCAGGCUAGCCCAACAGAUCCUGAAAAUUUCCCAUUUGUGGUGAUCGGCAACAAGACUGACGUGGAUGGUGGAAAUAGCAGAGUGGUAAACACCUGCCCCUCCUCUUUCUAUAUAUAUAUAUAUAUUGAGGUUGAGAGGCACCGUGCCAAAGGCAUUAGGACAUAUUAUAUGUGGUGGAAUGUUGUGGACCUAUGAUGAUAUCUACUACGGAGUUGGUAGGACAACAUACAACCCAAUAUAAAUCUACAUUUACACCAAUUCUAUUAAUUUCUCUGUUUGUUCUUUUCUCUACCAUGGAAAAUCAAACUUCAACAGGCUGUCUUACCUAUAAGUAUGUUAAAAGUUCUGUUCCCACUAAGAGAAGGCAAAAUUUAAAACGGUCAUUGUGGAUAACAAAACAAAAUUAUUUGGCCGCUUCAGUUGAACAUAAGGGAGGGAAGCUCAAUUGCCCCAAUUUCCUUGUUGACGGCUACUACUGGUGAUCACCCCCCUCCCCACCUUUUCCCUCUGUCAGCACCACCCCCCUCUCCUAACCCUGCCCAUUGGGCAUCUCUUCCAGCUCCCUUUCCCAGUCAGUGCCUCCCCUCCCUUCCCCAGUCCGGUGGUGCCCCUUCUGCAGCUGCCCGUUUUUUUAAUUUUUGUGCACUUUAACCACCAAAUUUAAAAAGUAGGGGUAUUUGCACUUUAACCACCAAAGUAAAGUUCUUUUGUAAUCAAAAUGGCAUUUAUAAACAAUAGCUCGUUAGUUACAUUCAUUAAACUGAUACAAACUUAAGCAUCGCGGAUGCAGUGUCCAUUUGCGUAUCAUUCCCUAUUUACCCAGUGCUUGUAUCAUGAUAAAUACUUCCAGCCUUUCUGUUGGGGCAGACUGAGGUGAUGUGCUGCACUGUUUUCAAUAUGUAAGCUGUGAAACUUUGUUUGAGAUUGACAAACAUUGUUUUACCUGCUUUGCCACAGGUAUCUGAGAAAAAGGCUCGGGCUUGGUGUGCCUCAAAAGGAAAUAUUCCUUACUUUGAGACUUCUGCUAAGGAAGGCACCAAUGUUGAAGAAGCUUUUCAGGUUAUUGCAAAGAAUGCCUUGAAAACUGGAGAAGAGGAAGAAAUGUGAGUACAAAAUCCCAUAUUAUCUCAUCAAGUUGCAUUUAUAUGUCAGCACCAUCUUCGUUAUACUUCUUCAGUUUCUCACAAUGCUGUCAUAAUGUUUUAUAGUUUUAUUAUAUAGCUGUGCAUUGUAUUAUGCUAAAAGUAGAAUUGAUAGUUGAAAUUAGUAGAAGAAUAAAUUCUUGGAAAAAAAUGCUGCCAUAUAUUUGCACCGAUCUCAUAAUUCUUGAACGACAUAUAUUCUUCUUGCUAAUAUUCUUGAUGAUGGUGAAGAUACCUUCCGGACACAAUUGAUGUUGGUAGCAGCGCCCAACAACGGUCAACUGGAUGUGAAUGUUGAUUGAGUAAUAUGAUUCAGAAGUUCCCAGGAUGCACCAAGAACUCCAUCAUUCUUAUGUUUUUCGUGUUGCACUAAGAUCAUGCGUGUAUACUAGUGUUUGUACUGUGGAGCGAAUUCGUUUUGUUAUUUUCUGAGCUUGGUUGCUUGGGCUACCUUCAAUGUGUACUGUACCGCUCUGAUUUGGUGGAGCUGGAUAGAAUUUUUCAGUGAAUUGAUUGCAGUUUCUGUGUAAACUCUUUCAUCCUUGACAUUUUUUUCAAGUUCUAUCCUCUGCUCUCCAUGUCGACUACUUGAUUUUUUCUACAGGAAAACCGAAAGGGCGUCGAUGGUGACGGUUGAACCAUAAAAACCGAAUUGAUCUGAUGAAUACAACUGUAAUUCAAUAUCGGUUGACCAUGGAUAUUGAUUCCCUAAUUAUCUAUUUUUCUUUCUAUCACUUGUCAAAAUCACUGUAUUGUAUAUAUUUGUAUUUUGUGACCAUCUGCUAAAUUAAACAUCUAGUUGAAGUUGGUAUGCGAUGAAAAUUGUAGAAAAAGAAGAAUUUACCUUUUGGAAAAGGUCCAACGUAUUAGAGAGCACCCCAUCCCCAGUUGAGAUUCCUCUGCUAACAACCUCUUACUUUUGCAUUAAGUUGAUUAUAGAGCAAAAUAAUGCUACAUAAAUGAGGUGCAAUGUUUUAAAACUAGCUAGAUUGCAACUAUAAAAACGAACAUACCCGAAGGCUUUUCAUUGAAAUACAUAAUUGAUCUCAUACACGGCUUACAUUUAUUAGAAAAGCAACAACUUAUGCACUUCAUACAUUAGAAAUAGUGAUAGGUGACAUGAGACCACAGACGACAACAUUAUAAACUUCAUACUAAUUCACUUUUCACUUUUCUGCCUUGGCUCCAAUCGUGUAGAUCGAAUCCUUGGAAUUGACAUCAUCAGUGUAUGCCGAGACAUUAGGCCUAGGCUCAAAAUCUUUAGUGUAAGAUUUCUCAUCCUUUGAAUUGACAUCAUCAGUGUAUGCCGAGACAUUAGGCCUAGGCUCAAAAUCUUUCGUAUAAGAUUUCUCAUCUGUGAGCUUAACGUCAUCGGUGUAUGCUGAGACAUUAGGUCUUGGCUCAAAAUCUUUCGUAUAAGAUUUCUCAUCUGUGACCUUAACGUCAUCGGUGUAUGCUGAGACAUUAGGUCUUGGCUCAAAAUCUUUCGUAUAUGAUUUCUCAUCUGUACGCUUAACAUCAUUAGUGUACGCUGAGACAUUAGGUCUUGGCUCAAAAUCUUUUGAAUAAGAUUUCUCAUGUGUGAGCUUAACGUUAACACUCGGUCUAUCCUCAAACUCUCUCACAAAAGCUUUAUGCUCUUUAAACUUGAGAUCAUCACUAUGAGCCAUGGUGCUAGCCCUUUGCUUAAUGUCUUUUGCAAAAGACUCCUCAUAUUUAGGUUUGACAUCGAAGAUUGAUGACUUACCCAAUGCAGUAUGACACCCAUUUCUCUCAUCCUUCACAACACCUUGCCAAUAUUCCCCUCCAUCUUUUCUUGCAUUGAUACCGUAAGCUAUCUGCAUUUCUCAGAAUUAAAAUCCCUAGUUAGAAAAUGAGCCAAGUAGAAUCUCAACUCCAAAUAAAUUGAUCAAAAUAAUGUUAUAUAACACAUAUCAACAAAAACAACUAGCUAGCUCAUAUAAAUUCGCACGUAGAUGAAACUUUCAUGCAUGUGCUAGAGAAACGUUAGUCAUAUAUAUAUGUUAAUGUGUAUUUACGAAAUUUAGUUCUCAUUUUUCACAAUAACUUAAUUUGAUUUUUGUCAGAAAUAGAAAAAAUGUACAUACCAGUGCGAGAGAGAGGAUGCUAGCUAUAACGUAGCUCAUUGCAAUAAUUUGAAUCUAAUCUGAAUCUCACUUUAUGAGUUGAGAAUAGAGAAAAUCUGCUUGCUAUUUAUAGGAAGAAAGUACGAAGACUAUAUAAUAACAAGUUGUGAGAGAAAGAAAGCAAGAAGACUCAAUCAUUGCAUAUGAUAAUAUAAUUAAACUUUGAUACAGAGAAACUAGAUAAAGCAAUUAUUAGAUAUUGGGAGCUGGAGGUCCAUCUUUGUCAUCUAAAUUAUAUAUGCAAAAUAAUAUAGGGUCGGGUUUCUGAUUAUGACAUUGUUUUUCCUUUAAUAUUGUUGUUAUGUCUUGAAUUUUCCGCUUCACACUUCGGGGGUCUCGCUGUAAUCUGGGUGUUUUAUCUCAAUACUAUAUACAAAACCGAUCACCUACCCACCGUGGGCAAACAUAACGUGCCCACCACUGAUGUGGCAAUGUUAAUUAGGAAGGAGAAUUAAUAAAUCUUACUCUAAUUAAAAUUAUCUUACUCUAAUUACAAUUGCCACAUCAGUGAUGGGCACGUUAUGUUUGCCCACGGUGGGUAGGUGAUCGUCUCUGAUAUAUAUUAUUAUUAUUAUUAUUAUUAUUAUUAUUAUUAUUAUUAUUAUUAUUAUUAUUAUUAUUAUUAUUAUUAUUAUUAUUAUUAUUAUUAUUAUUAUUAUUAUUAUUUUCUCCGUCCCAUAAAUUUUGACACGUAUUCAUUUUUGGAUCGUCCCACGAAUCUUGACACAUUUUCUAAAUAAGGUAAUAAUUAAUCCAAAAAUAUUACAUUCUCUCUCCUACUUUUAUCACUUUAUUACAUUCAUUCUCCUAGCUACUUUUUCACUUUUAUACUUUAUUUUCUACGCACUUAAAACAUUAAUCUACAAUUCUUUAAUUUUCGUGUCGUAACCAAACGUAUCAAGAUUCAUGGAACGAAGGGAGUACUAUGUCAAGAUCCGUGUCCACCAAUCAACUUCUCAUUUGGUGGUCGGCACGGAAACUAAAAAAACUGAAAAAUGUGGUGUAAAAGUGGUGUAACAGACUAAAAGGAUAGUGUUAUUUUAUGUGGUUACUUUUACUAAUUUUUCACUAGCUAUUUAACAUUAUUUUCAUGCCUUGACUUAAAGUUUUUUUUUAUAUAUACGCUAUCUCUUUCUUCUUCUUUUUUACUCUUUAAUUAAAUAAACUAAAAACUUAAACAUAAUUAAAAUGAAAACAAGAAAAUAAUUUUUUCAGAAAAUAAAUAAAUUGAAAAUUCGAAAAUAAAUAAAUAAAUAAACAGGAAAUUCGAAAAUAAAUAAAUAAAUAAACUAUAAAUUCAGAAAAUAAAUAAAUAAAUAAACUGGAAAUAAAUUUUUCAGAAAAUAAAUAAACUAAAAAUUAAAAAAUAUAUAAAUAAAUAAACUAAAAAUUCAAAAAUAAAUAAAUAAAUAAACUGAAAAUUCAGAAAAUAAAUAAAUAAAUAAAAUGGAUGUUGGGUCCCCUGAGGGUUGAAAUGACAUGUGUAUGGGGGGGAGGGGAAUACACCUGUAAGCUAUUUUCGAAACAAGGUUACUUAAAACCGACACCUUUGUUCUGAAAGAUAGUUUGAUUGAUUUGAAAAUGCAAGCUUCAGAUGACAAGGGGUGGCGACUGAUACUGAAACCAAGGUUCAGUGGGUGACUUCAGUUAAUUGAUUUGGUCAAUUAACUUCAAUCCAAGUAAGGCUUCAAUCGUAAGUAAAACAGAGUAGAAUUACUUGUUUAACCGACUAUCAAAAGAUUGAUCAGUUAAACUUAUAAUUCUAGCAACGGAAUAUUAAACUUAGUGAAAUACUCCCUCCGUCCACCAAUUAAAGGCCUAGGGGAAAAAACACGGGUUUUAAGAAAAAGUGUAUUUUUAUUAGUUGAGUGGAGAAAGGGUCCCACUUUUUAAGAAAAAAUGUAUUUUUAUUAGUUGAGUGGAGAAAUGGUCCCACUUUUUUGUAAAGAAUCUUUGACUUUUUUGAUUAAAUAAUGAAUAAAAACUUACCAAAAAUAGGUAGGCCUUGUUUUUGUGGACGUCCCAAAAAGGCAAGUAGGCCUUGAACUGGUGGACGGAGGGAGUAGCAUUGAAAGAUUUUCUUCACAGAGAAUCCCUUAGUUACUCUUUUCAGUUAAUCAGUAUUAGAGAAACNAACCCUAAUGUAGCAAAACCUUUUAGUCAUUAGAAAUUUUAACUGUACAGAUAAAAAUAUGAAAAUAAUAGUAUUUCUGACUAAAAUACUCUUUUAAUGUGUAACAGUGUAAAAUACACUAUUACACACUUGUUAGAAGCAAAAAAGUGCGUAACAGUGUAAAAUACACUAUUACACGAUUUUCGCGAUUAUUAUACUACGAUUUUUGAAAAAGUGUGUAAUAAUGUAUUUACACGGUUACACACUUUUUCACAAUUACACAAAAAAGUGUGUAACAAUAUUAAGAGUAUAAUUAUACAUUUACACUAAAAAAGACUAGUUUUUUCAUACUUUUAUUUGGGUGAACAUUUUUUCCUUUUCUUAUACAAAAAGAUAUAAUUGGCCCAUUAACUCUAUCAUUUGAAAAUAUUAAGCCCUUUUAUGGAGUAAAAUUUAUACCUUUCCUGGGCGACAGCCUUAUCUGCGGUCAAGAAAGUAGAUUUCCAGCCACGGCCUAUAGGGGAGGAAGGGUCGUCAUCCUCCCCCAAAACUCGUGUGUAAAUCACGCCGUGCUUCUCCAACUUGUGCACGAAGUCUGAGUGCUUCUCCUUCAUUCUUUCGUAUAUGAUGUGACUCGGGACUAUCGGCGUUUCUCCGCCCGACUCGGGCUCUACUUCGCAGAAGAAGAACAAUUUUGUCGGGUACUUUUGCACCUUGUGAUCCAGAUUAACAAAAUCAAUCAACUAAUCCCAUCCCAUUCAAAUAAUCACUUCUUUUACACAGAUUAAAAAAAUUCUGAUGUUGUUUCUCGAGCGAGGAUGGCGAAAGAAACAUGUUUUCUGAAUACUCUUUGAUAUAGAAAAGAAGUAAACAUAUAUAAUAUGCAAAGUUCGUGAUAUUUAAAAAUUAAAAUUAAAAUUAAGGUCAUGAAUAAAAAAAAAAUCAAUAAUUGGGAUCAUAAACAAGUAUUACACACGAGCAAGAAAAGAGAAGAAUUGAUACCUGAGCCAUUUCAUGGUGAAAAGGGAUCUUCUGAUCAGGCGGGGAUUCGUUAGCAGUGAAAAUACGGCCGACGACGUUAGUUCUGGGGGCGGCGCCGCCGACGUACGGCAGCUCCUCGUACCCGAACGCCUCCACGACGUCGUUGAAGUCUGAAGCGGUAGCUAAGGAAUCAAAACCACGAAACAGAAUAGCGCCGUGUUUGUGCAGAAGCGAGUCCAGCCAUGGCCUCUGCUCCUUCACGCCCGCCGUCAAAGAGGACGCACCGCCCGCCGCUGCCGGAGAUAACACGGCGGGGAAAGUAACUCCGCCAUGGCUUUUUUGAUGUGGGAUCUUGGUUUCAGCGAAGAUGCUAGAGUUCGUAGGCAUUUUGUGAUUUUGUUCUUUGAAUUUUGGAUGAUUAGUUUGGCAAUUAUUGAUUAUAUAUAUAUAUAUAUAUAUAUAUAUAUAUAUAGUAAGGAAGANNNNNNNNNNNNNNNNNNNNNNNNNNNNNNNNNNNNNNNNNNNNNNNNNNNNNNNNNNNNNNNNNNNNNNNNNNNNNNNNNNNNNNNNNNNNNNNNNNNNNNNNNNNNNNNNNNNNNNNNNNNNNNNNNNNNNNNNNNNNNNNNNNNNNNNNNNNNNNNNNNNNNNNNNNNNNNNNNNNNNNNNNNNNNNNNNNNNNNNNNNNNNNNNNNNNNNNNNNNNNNNNNNNNNNNNNNNNNNNNNNNNNNNNNNNNNNNNNNNNNNNNNNNNNNNNNNNNNNNNNNNNNNNNNNNNNNNNNNNNNNNNNNNNNNNNNNNNNNNNNNNNNNNNNNNNNNNNNNNNNNNNNNNNNNNNNNNNNNNNNNNNNNNNNNNNNNNNNNNNNNNNNNNNNNNNNNNNNNNNNNNNNNNNNNNNNNNNNNNNNNNNNNNNNNNNNNNNNNNNNNNNNNNNNNNNNNNNNNNNNNNNNNNNNNNNNNNNNNNNNNNNNNNNNNNNNNNNNNNNNNNNNNNNNNNNNNNNNNNNNNNNNNNNNNNNNNNNNNNNNNNNNNNNNNNNNNNNNNNNNNNNNNNNNNNNNNNNNNNNNNNNNNNNNNNNNNNNNNNNNNNNNNNNNNNNNNNNNNNNNNNNNNNNNNNNNNNNNNNNNNNNNNNNNNNNNNNNNNNNNNNNNNNNNNNNNNNNNNNNNNNNNNNNNNNNNNNNNNNNNNNNNNNNNNNNNNNNNNNNNNNNNNNNNNNNNNNNNNNNNNNNNNNNNNNNNNNNNNNNNNNNNNNNNNNNNNNNNNNNNNNNNNNNNNNNNNNNNNNNNNNNNNNNNNNNNNNNNNNNNNNNNNNNNNNNNNNNNNNNNNNNNNNNNNNNNNNNNNNNNNNNNNNNNNNNNNNNNNNNNNNNNNNNNNNNNNNNNNNNNNNNNNNNNNNNNNNNNNNNNNNNNNNNNNNNNNNNNNNNNNNNNNNNNNNNNNNNNNNNNNNNNNNNNNNNNNNNNNNNNNNNNNNNNNNNNNNNNNNNNNNNNNNNNNNNNNNNNNNNNNNNNNNNNNNNNNNNNNNNNNNNNNNNNNNNNNNNCCGCUACGUUUGCUUCAAGCAUUUGUGCAAUCGUAAGGAAACUCAGUGGGAUCGAACAACUAACGUCGUUCAUGCCGAUGACCAAGUGUGGCAAGAACUCUUCAAGGUUAGAAAACGCAUAAUACUCUUUCUAUUAAACCUUGUUGCAAAUAUCAAUAAAUCAAUCAAAUAACAUUAUUCCAUUAUUUGCUAUCAUCAUAGGAAAAUGCAUUCUUCCGAGCCUAUUAUCAUAACGGUGAUCCGGAGUACCUACAGAUGUGCAACUUGUUUGGCCUCUACGACGUAAAAAAAGAGUUGUCUCAUACGGUAAUCGUUAUUGAAGACUCGUCAACUGUGAAGAAGCCAUCCCACCAUACUAUCAACGGCGAAUACUGGAGUGAAGAUGAGGUAACAUCUCCUAUCUUAAAACCAAAACCAGUGGCCAAACCAGUGGCCGCUAGGAACAUCUUCCCAGACGAUGCUUGUUCAAGCGCGACAGCUUCUUUCCACAAUAAGCUCCCAUGGAAUGCAUUCAAAAAUAAGCUCCGUCGGCCAACGAAAACGAAAGAUGACCAGAAUCGCGAUGGCGGUUAUGGUGGAAGUUCGUGCGCGUCGUCCUCUCCUUUCAAAUAGAGUUAUUUUGCCGCUAUCUCUUCCAUUGUUUUGCCGUCCUGCUCUUAUAUUUCACCUUCAUGUUUGAUUAUUAUGUUUUGACCUUAUUUUUGGCGUCUCCAUGAGCUAAUAGGUUUUUAUGUUUUCUAUUGAAGUACCCUACUGUUUUCCCUCUAAUAAUUGGUUGGACUCAUGUUUUUUUACAUGUUAUGUGCACUCAAUAAUUGGUCGAACUAUAAAUUAGAUACAAAUGAAAAUCAACCAAUGAAAUAAUGACAUAUAUGGAUAAUAAAUUUUCUGCAAUCUACUGAGCAUGCAAAUAAAAUUUCUGCAAAAUAAACACAUUAUCAUUCAAAACUCCAUAAAACGAAUUACAAAAUAGCAUUUGAAUCUCCAUGAAACAAAGUAUGAAAUAACUUUCAAAUCUCCAUGAAACAAGGUACAAAAUAACAUGAUCGGUCUCCAUGAAACAAAGUACCAACAACGGCAUAAGCUUAAAGGGCCAACUAGUACCCAACAUAAACCUAAACAAUCUUGCAACAAGUUCCAAAAUAUUCUUUGAACAUGAUAUGAGAAACUGUCAGAUUUCAAAAUGCAAAAGAAGAGCACCAAAACAUUCCUUGCACGAAGGUGACUUACUUAUGCUUCAAAGCAAGCAAGUAGUGCACGUAGUCUUCCUUCGCGUCAUCCGGGAGGCUUGAGAACACAUCCAGACGCUCGACCUCCUUUGCAAGCAAAUCUGUCAACUCAAACUUUUCCAUCUUUGACAGCCCCGGAAUAGCAGACAAUUGAGCGAAGACUUCUUUUCUUGCCUUUGAUAUAUCGUAGUCGUAACCCAUUUUACUUGAUAUUGUAUCAAGUCUAGUUUCGGUCCCCCGGUUAAUUUCAUGUAGGGCCUCGAAGAAUCUGUCGUCAAAGGUGGCACUGCGGCGCCGCUUCUUGCCGCAACCCCGCACUUCCUUCUCAGCCGUAACACUCUCUUCAUGAACUUGGGUGUGGCUUACAUUGUCACCCGCUUCGCCAUUCUCGAAGAGAUCUUCAAGUGAGACGCGGUAAUCAUCAUCGGCGUUCGGUUGGCUAGUAUCCAAUUUUCGAUACAUCUCAUGGGACGCCUCCAUGAGAUCCUCCGCCUCAUCGCCCGUAGCUCUAUCUUUGCCGUAAUAUUAUCUUCCAAUCCUCAAGUAGAGGUCCAACUUUUCUUGCGAUAGUUGCUCACGCUAUUAUCGACUACAUUACAUUUAAAGCUUAACAAAACAUGUAAAACCAGGCUGCAAUAAGCAAUGUAAAUGGACUUACCCUCACAAAGUUCUCCCAUUGUUCAUCAUCGCAAUCAAUCAUGUGCUUUCCAUCCACAUUGAAACCAACUCCACUGGUCUUGAGGAUGUUCCACAAUGAAUAGUAAGUCUUUUUCCACGUUGUUACCUUCGAGUUUAUGUGAGGCAUCCCUUUCAAAUCGGUGGUCGGAAAGUCCUUCCUCAUAGCCUCCUCUAACUUGCUCAAAUAACCGGCUCGAAAUCCGUUGUCGGAUUUCCAUCCUUGCGCAACGAGCUCCUUCAAUGCAGCGAUUAGCACUUCUUCUUCGCGUGUAGACCAACUGCGGCGCUUCUGGGUCGUCUUGUUAACACGGCCAGAAAGCGUUGUUCCAUUGCUACCUGAACAACCAUAAAAAGAAAAACACCAGCAAUGUGUUUCAUGUGUUGCUGUAUACUUAUUCCAGACCACCAGCUUUGUAUUUCAUAUUAUUUAACAUCCGUUUAUGGCAUUUCAUAUUAUUAAAAAUCCCGACCAACACGUUUUAUACCAGUCCAAAAUACGAUCAUAUACUCUAGCAAAAUAAUUAUGUUUUGCGGUCGGCGCUAGCAAGUAGCAAGUAUCUAAAUAUCACAGCCACUAAAACGGAUAGACGAAUAUUAGCAAAACCAAGAGCAGAACAUGAUAUAAACACAGAUCGCAUAAAGACUAAAAAAUAUAUUUUCAUCAAGACGAAGACUCAUAUACGACGUGAAUAUUGUUAAAAAACCAUUGGAUAUAGUUCUAAGGAGUCGCGACAUGGGAGAAGAAUGACCUACCUUGAGUUGCAGAACUCAUUAUCGGCAAGUUCAGAUUGCUUUCUUGCCCUUUCUAUGGAGAGAGACCUUUCACCUUCUGCGCAGAAGAGUUCUUGGCGGGUGAAGAAUGUUUUCGGAGAAUAGGGAUUAGUGGGUGUAAUGGUGUAAAGCAGAGGACAAGGUUGGAAUUUCGAAAAUUAGAAGGGGACAUUUUUGUCCAUUAUUAACUUUAUCUGACCUAGUACUAUGAAUACCAAACAGAAUUCAUGAUUAGUUAAAUGUAAAAGCAAACAUCCAAUUAAUAUUAAUAACACAGUGUAAUCCACACUAAUUAUCUAGUUUAAUAUUAUACUAGCUAAUCCAUUACAUAAAACCAAACGAGCCCUAAACAUUUGAUCUCAAUACGUAAAUAAAACAUAAAUCAGCAAGCUCCGACUUUAUUUUUGUUGGCCUUGUUUGUUGUGGUGUUUAACGCUGUAUUAGCAUAUUAAUAUGCUGAGAAACGAUCAUUUGGUGCCUUAUUAACACAGACGGCCCAGCAUUAUGCAAGGGCCCGGGCCUCUUUAAAUAGAUAAAUCUCGUUUAGGAAUAUGCCACCCCCUUUGAUACGCAAACCAUCAUAAUUAUCUUGGAUUCAAAUCUCAUUUUUGCCCUUAAAUUCAAAUAUUAUCAGCCUUAUGUGUUGAUUAUUUCUACUCAUUAUUCUCUACAAAAAAACGUUGUUGUUCUCGCCGACCGACAAAGAAUUAUGCGGAAAUUUUGCUGUGCAAUACCAAGAAUAAUUUUGACUACGAAAUCGACAACACGGUAUGUGCGGUUAAUCGUUUUUGCCUAUCGAACCUGAUUUUGAUUUUUAUUUGAGAAUGUUAGAGCAGUAGAAACGAUUGAAUCUGUUAGGUCUUUUUUCGAAAAAAAGUGUAUGUCAUCUUUAUUAAAAUCUUAAGUUCUAAAGAGUUAUAAUCCACCUUAAUCAAGUGUUUGGUUUGCAUGAUGGAGCCCGUGAUUAAUAACUCGGCCUGCAUCUAAUCACCCAAAUGAGUGAUUGUUUAUCAUCCCAAAGUUGGAUGGAUAUUAUUUAAUCACCCCCUCCAAUCCUAUCACUCUUAUCAAUCUUAUCUAUCCUAUCCAACAAACCAAACGCCUCCAAGUAGUAUAUUUUUAUCAUGUCAUCUUAUAUCUAUGACAUUUUAGAUACUACUCGUAUAUAUGAUUAGUGAAACCAAAGCUUUUACAAGCAAAAAGAACAAAGCUACAUAUAUUAAUGACUUAUAUGUUUAAUAAAAAUUUCUGGCAAAUAUUAACUUGUGUGUACAUGCAAUGUACGAUGCAUUCAUCCUACUUAAAUUAAUUAACUAUACAAAUUAAUUAUUAUUUUUUAUAUUUACAGCAAGAGUCUCCAGUAUUUGGAUGUCCCCAAAUUAACGACCACUAAAAAUAAGGUUAUAUAUAGUUCACUAGAAAGCAACAACGUGAUAGAAUCUAGAGUAAUCGAUGUAUCAUAUUCAUAUAUAUGUGUUGAUGAAGAUUUAUCUAUCAAAAUAAGAAACUAAGGUUUUAUAUGAAAUGAUUAACCUAGGCAACACGUAUGAUGCCCAUAUAUUCAUUUAUAUAAGUGCAGCAUGAGUCACGUUAAGAUUGUAAUUGCCACUGUGUGAUGAUAUGGUGUUCCUCUAUAUAUAGAAAUCGAUCACCUACCCACCGUGGGCAAACAUAAUGUGCCAACCACUGAUGUGGCAAUUUUAAUUUGGAAAGAGUAUUAACGACCACCUCAUGGAAAAAUAUAUUCUAGCUAGCUUUUGAAACGAGCUUGUUCUGCUAGAGUUUUUCACUUUCUAGUAUAUUUUUUCUUUCUUUUGAAUUUUGAGAGUUUUUUUUUUUUUGGUUGUUGUUGUUGGUUGGAGAUUUAAGGAUUUGGAUUAGUAGGUCACCUUAUAAAGAAAAAGAAUAUCAUUAAGCUACAAUUUGGAUUAAUUGUCAACUCCAUCUUUAUCAUGAAUCAUAUGGGUUCUUUUCUUUCCUUUAACAUAAUUAAUUAACGAUAGCUUAAAGUUUUGGAUUAAUUGACAACUGCAUCUUUAUCAUGAAUCAUAUGAAUUAUUUUCCCUCCUUAAACAUAAUAAUUCACGAUAUGUGAUGACAUUAAUAUAAUUCACACCUCACUCCCCUGCCGGCACCACUAAUAUUCACAAAAACAUCCAGACAAGUCUCUAUUUGUUCUUCCGCAUAUAUUCUAAAAUAUGCAUGAAUAAUUAAAUUAAUAAUUUCAAAAAGUCAUACUAGGUUUUUUAUGUACUUAGACAUAGUUAAUCUUUUAAACAACAUAUGAAUUAUGUAUUAAUUUAGGCUAAGACUAAAUAUGAUAUUUAGCCAAAUUAUAAAUUCUGGAAUCAACCAAUUAUAAGGUCAUAUAUAAAUAUUAUUAUAUUUAACUAACUUCAUUUAAGACUACCUAUAAUUAUACUCCCUCCGUCCCAGCUUUUUGUAUCCACUUUUAGUAGGGAUACAAAAAGCUGGGACAGAGGGAGUAUAUUUUAGAGAAUAUAUAUAUAUAUAUAUAUAUAUAUAUAUAUAUAGGGUAGGGUUAAUAUAAAAACCCCCUCUUAAGAUGAAAACUAGGAACCAAUUUAAAACCAUUGAUUUAAAUAAAAUAGAGGGCUGAGAUUAAACUACAGAUGCACAAUUUCGAUUGCAUAGAUGCACAGUUUCAAUUGCAUGGAUGCACAAUUUCGAUUUGCUUGAGUAUUUUGCAUUGUUGGUUUCAAUUGCAUAAAUUGCAUAUUUUUAAUUGCACAGUAAAAUAUAAUAGAUGCACAGUUUCUUUUGUUGACUAAAUCCUAACCAUUAGAUCUAAUAUUUAAAAGGUUAAGAUUAGCUUCCUAGUUCUCAUUUUAACAAAGGUUUUAUUAGAACAUCUUCCUAUAUAUAUAUAUACAUAGAAAUAAAUAAUAAAUAAGACAUACAUAUAUACAAUAACGAAUUAAAAAUAUUUAUAAAAUUAUUNGUAUAAUUUAGUAUUUUUUUACGUAAAAAAAUAAAAUAAUAUAAUAUAUAUAUAUAUAGGGUAGGGUUAAUAUAAAAACCUACUACUUAAGAUGAAAACUAGGAACCAAUUUAAAACCAUUGAUUUAAAUAAAAUAGAGGGCUGUGAUUAAACUACAGAUGCACAAUUUCGAUUGCAUAGAUGCACAGUUUCAAUUGCAUAGAUGCACAAUUUCGAUUUGCUUGAGUAUUUUGCAUUGUUGGUUUCAAUUGCAUAAAUUGCAUAUUUUUAAUUGCACAGUAAAAUAUAAUAGAUGCACAGUUUCUUUUGUUGACUAAAUCCUAACCAUUGGAUCUAAUAUUUAAAAGGUCAAGAUUAAGUUCCUAGUUCUCAUUUUAACAGAGGUUUUUAUUAGAACCUCUUCCUAUAUAUAUAUAUAUAUAUAUAUAUAUAUAUUAAUUUAAUAGUAGUGUUAAUUGUUUUUAUAAAUUUAUUUAUCUUUAAAUUCAUAAUAAAAAGUAAUAUUAAUACUCCCCUAAUAAAAUUCAAAUAAUUGUAAUGCCACAUAAAUUAACCACACAAAAGUUUUCCCAAUUAAUAAAGAUGAAAAAAAUAGCUUGGUUGAAACUUAUAAAAUGAGAGAGAGAGAGAGAGUAAUAUAUAUCAAAUUAAAGUUUGUGUCAUGAUCUUUAAUUGGAUAUACAAAGGGAUUCACCAUAAUAAAAAAUUGUAUUAUGAAAAGGUAAAACAAAUGUUAAAAAAUAAAAAUAAAAAUAAAAUAAAAAAGAAUUAAAAAUAAAUUUAUUCAAAAAAAGAUGAGAGUUGAGAGAUUUUUUUUAAUUUAAAAAUAAAUAAAUUAAAAGUUUUACAUUUUAAAUCAAAUAUUUACAUAAAAAUAUAUCAAAUUAAAGCUUUUAUCGUGAUCUUUUAAUGUGAUAUGCAUAUUAAAUAUUUUAUAAUUAGUCGAAUUUCACUAUUUUAGAAAGAAAUAAAGUAAAAAAAAAGAUAAAUAAAAAGAAAAUAAAAAAGGAAAUAUGUAAUUUAUAAAUAAACCUUUAAUUUUAUUAUAACUACAAAAUUAUUACUUAAUUUUGAAAUCAAUUUAAAAUUGAUGACAAAUUGAAAUCUUAAAUUUGUAAUAAUAGAUAUACAGUGAUUUUGACAAAGCGUAAAAAUUAAAAUAGAUAAUUAGAGGAAAAAUUCUAAUCAACGUCCCACGGCCACGUCCAAUAUAAUAAUAUUUUAUUAUUAAAAAUCAAAUUAAAAAUUCGAGUAUCAACAUCCAUUCCUCGGUACAGCAUGGUGAAUUACACAGGUCGCAUUCAUUAUAUCAGAUCAAUUCACCACAGUUAAAUUUGCAUACGGCUUUCAUCAAAUUAAUUAACUUCCGAUUGAUUUUUCUUUCUAUCACACUGAGUGGUGGGGAUGGGGACACUAUUUGAAAAUGGGGCGUUAACCAUAAAAAAAUCAAUCAUUAAAAAUGAUAAAUCGGUCAUUAGCUAGAAAAUCUAACGAUUGAAUUAACGAUCAAUUUGAAGCAAAUGGAUCUCAUAGCUCUCAUAGUACUCUCUCUUUCUUCUCUCACUUUCAAUUUGAUAGCCUUGAGGUUUAAGGAAAGAGAAGAAUCCAUGUGAUUCAUGAUAAAGAUGAAGUUGUCAAUUAAUUCAAAACUUUAAGCUAUCGUUAAUUAAUUAUGUUAAAAGGAAAGAAAAGAACCCAUAUGAUUCAUGAUAAAGAUGGAGUUGAUAGACAAUUAAUCCAAACUUUGUAGCUAAUUAAUGAUAUUCUUUUACUUCAUAAGGUGACCUACUAAUCCAAAUUCUUAAAUCUCCAACCAACCAACCUAAAAAACUCAAAAUUCAGAAGAAAAAAAAAACUCUAGCAGAAUGAGCUCGUUUCAAAAGCUAGCUACAAUAUAUACUUUUCCAUUGCUUGUCACGUUAUUUUCCCAAUAAUGAGAUAAAAAUUCUUUCGGCUAUCUAUCUUCCUACAACAAAAAUCGAGUUAUUAUUUAAACAAAUAAUUAAAAAUUGUAUCCAAUAUCAUAAUUCGCUCAUCAAAUAUGUGAAUAUAUAUUUUGGCAAUUAAUCCCAAAGAUUAUUUGCUAUUGCAUGCUUGGUCUCUCUCCCUCUUUUUUUUUUUCCUUUUUUUUUUUCACUUGUUAGCUGUUAUCUGUAAAUUAACAGGAUCAAAUCAGAACUUAGAGAAAAAGUUCACAUAUAAUAUAUUAAUAUGCAGUGUAUUUUAGUAUUUUCGAUGAUACUUUAAUUACUUAUACAAAAUCUUAAUUAUUGUUUUGGGUAUAUAUGGAGGAACACGAUAUCAUCACACAGUGGCAAUUACAAUCUUAACGUGACUCAUUCUGCACUUAUAUAAAUGAAUAUAUGGGCCCUUUGAUUGCGUCCUGCUUUCUUGGGUUUUUUAAGGUUUUUUGUUUUGCAAUAAAAUCGUAUUUUAAUAAAUGAAUAUAUGGGCAUCAUACGUGUUGCCUUGGUUAAUCAUUUCAUAUUAUAAAACCUUAGUUUUUUGUUUUGAUAGAUAAAUCUUCAUCAACAUGUAUAUGAUACAUCCAUUACUCGAGAUUCUAUCACGUUGUUGCUAUCUAGUGAACUAUAACCUCAUUUUUAGUGGUCGUUUGGGGACAUCCAAAUACUGGAGACUCUCUCUGUAAAUAUUGCACGUACUCACAAGUUAAUAUUUGCCAUAAAUUUUUGUUAAACAUAUGACUAUGAGUCAAUUAAGAUGGGUGACCAACUGGAAAGUUCGUCUAACGUAUACAAUUAAGUUAAAAAUAUAGUAUAAAUACAGAAAUACUUGUGAGCUAGGUAUAAAUAAAUAAAAUACCGCCGGCAACCACCGGCGGUGACGUCUGACAAUAGCGCCACCGCCGUCCGAUCAACAUUACCAGCAGCGAUGCUCCCGCUACUAAUCACCAACGGCGGAGGCGCCGGUAAAACUCCGGUAAAAGAUCACCGCUCACCGACGAUCUUUAGCGGCAGCGGCGCCGUUAAUUACCAGCGGCCGUCUUUUACCGCCGGUACUAUUGAAGUCAUCGACGAGCGAAAUACCGGUGGCGAGAGGCCGUUGGCAACCAUUUUUCCGGCGGUAUAUGUAUGAUUACCGGCGGCAUUGAGCGUGUUUUUUGUAGUGCUCGUAGUAUCUAAAAUGUCUUUGAUGCAUCAUAACAUGAUAAAAAUAUACUUAUAUUGCCGUCGGUAAUCAGCGUAUUUUUUGUAGUGCUCUUAGUAUCUAAAAUGUCUUUGAUGUAUCGUAACAUGAUAAAAAUAUACUUAAUAUUAGUUUAUAUUAUAACGCUCUAGAACAUAAGAUUUUAAUAAGUCGAUCGGAUCGUGAGUGUUAUUAAUACAUGCAUCAAAGCUUUCUCAGCUUCAUUCAUUCUCUCUCUUCUUGUGGUAAGUAAUUAAUUAAUAAUGUUUCUCUCUCUAGCCCACCUCUCUAAUUUCAUAAUAUUUUCUUCAAUAAUUGUUAACAAAACUUUCAUGUGUUGUUUCAGUAUGGCUAUUUUUGUGAUGCACGAAAAGAUCUAGGAGAGCUGUAGAAGGCUGUAAUGGAUGAAGAAACUAUGCCUGACACAAUAAAAAAUCCUAGCUUACGUUCUAUUUUUGCACAUGAUCCAACCAUCAACUAUAUUACAAUCCUUUAAGAGGUGAAGAGAGGUGUCUAAUAGAUCAAGAAAGGGACCUAUAUAUAAGCAUAUGGAAUAAAUAUAGUACAAAAUUCAAAAAUACUGAUAAAAUUCGAAAAUUCUUGUCGGCCACUAUUCACUAUUGCGUGUGAUUUUCUUGUUUCGGCCAUAUCUCCGUCGUACGAACUCCGAUUGGCGAUCCGUUUACGCUCAUGAACUCGUAUUGAGAUGAUCUACAACUUCUAUUUCAGACCAUUCUUCCAAAUUCGGCUUCAAUAUUUCUAAAAUUUCCAUCAAAGUUCGAGUAAGUAUCAUAUUUCUCAAGAUAUAUAAAACAAUAUAAACACGAAACAACUAUCCAACACUCAAUUUCUUAUAAAAUUGACAUCGUAUGAACAUUAAAAUGCAUAGAAACAUGAGUGUUAUCAAACCUUAAUUAUUUAAAGUUUAUAAAAUUCACAAUUUAUACUUUGUCUUUCAAUUAAUAUAGUCAAAUGUAGAAUAAAUAAUGCCAGAAUUGAACAAUUGUAUAUAAUUUAUAUUUUCCAAAUAAAAAUAAUCACAUUUUCUAAAUGUGUAAUAAAGGGGACAAUCAAGGUGGGACGGAUGGGAUAGAUCCAGUGCCCCACAAUUUUAUAUGUGUCACUAUGUCAUGCUUAUAUCUAUUAUUUUAAUAAUAUUUUUUAUAAAAAUAAAAUUUAUUACUAUAAUACUAUGAAUUAUAUUUAAUUCUUAAUUAUUUUAAAAAAUUAUUUUUUUUAAAAAGUAUAUACCAUGAUUUUGAAUUUAUCAACCUAUUAGCAGCUAAUAAAAGUGAAAAUAAAUGAUAAAAAAUAAAUAUAUACCCUAGAUUGAUGGUAUAAACCCUAGUUAAUAAUCCCAAAAUUAAACUAAAGCAUUCAAUAUCGAAAUUAAAGAAAAAAUAAAUAAAAUUAAAAGUUGGACACAAAAUGGGACAUCAAAUAUGGUACAGUGAAUCACAUUUGGGGUGGGAGGGAGUAAUACUCAUAGGCUUAUUCGUUGCCAUUCUGCUUGGGCUCGAAGGCUUGUGCAUCAUCAGUUGUGUACAAUUUAGCAAAUCAGAAACAAAUACUAGGAUUUCAUAAUUUGGGUUGAUAUUCUUUGAGAAACAAAUAGUUUUCGUCAAAGUAAAGCAUCUCAUGUUGGCUCAAAUGAAUCCACGCCUCAAUCCCAUGUCCCUCUUUGUCGCUCAUGAGCAACACAAAGUUGUUACCCGACGGCCCAUUAAUGUGAAUGCGCGUCCAAAGAGGCGUCCCCCAUCCGAAAUCACAGUCGUGAAAUUGAAACCCACUACAAUCAGUGAAAUUUAUAAUAUUGGUUUCAGGUUGGCUCACAUGUUGUAUCAAUCUUUCCAUAGUAUCUGUGUAGAUAUGGCGUCCAUCCACAUCAGGAGACAGAAUCUCGGCAUGACGAGUUAUGGCAUUUCGAACAGACUCUCCCAUUAGAAGAACAAGUUGAUCAACACCAACGUCAGCGCCGGCUUGUAUGCAUCUCGUCAUUGCUGGCACCGCGAAAUUCCCACAAGCGUGUCUGGACUGAGGUGGGAUUGAUCUCUCCCGCAUGUCCACCGCUUGCAAUAUGACGGACCUUCUGCUUCUGCCGUGGAUGGCGCCAUCCACCCGGAUUAGGGCUUUGGCUAUGACGGCACACACAACACGCACUCCAGAUAAGGCUUUUCCAUCGGUAUGUCUUAUUCUUAAUUUUAGGCUCCUUAAAGUCUCCUUGUUGAACAAAACCCUCUUCAAAGCAACGUUGUGAUCCGCGCCCACACGCUGUUCCCCAAAAUCAGGGGCCUGCUUGCUCACGGACGGAAGCAACGAGGAGAGAUGGAAAGUCGGGUUUACCUUCUUAUCAUGAUACGGAUUGGCGGCGUCCGACCAGGCGACCACGAACGUCCACAGCGACGACCCGUCCAAGACCUUGUGGGAACGCUGAUGGCGAUCGCGGCCCCGCCACACGAGAAACGUGUGAUCUGGAUCGAGAGGAGUGGAUUUUCAGGAGCUUCGUCGCGUCGGAAAUGUUGGUCUGGGAGGAGGUCGCGGAGCUCAUGGAUCUCCAUUUCUGGGCCGAGGUCCAUCAGCUCGACGUCUAGAGCCUCUGCUUCCACGAGCUCCGCUCCCUCAUCGCUGCAAUCAAUCCAACUAUCCUUCUUCAUAAAUCUUCCUGCAAGAGGAUAGAAUUCAACCAGGAUUCUGGCCAGUGAUGCUUCCAAGAUAUGGCUGCCGGCAUCUUCUGCUAUCGAUUCGUAAAACAGAACAACAGCGUUAUUAAUUGGGCGAACAAGCUCAUCUAUAAACGACAACUUGUAAUUCUUGAGGUUUUGAGGGGUUGGGGUGUGUGGUUUUACCAACUUGCUGCUGAUUUUAUUCAUCUUCAUUUUUUUUUUAAUUGAUAGUACUGGAGUGAAUACUUGAUACACACAAAACUAGUGCUCUAUAUAUAAGCAAAAGUUGAAUUAUUAAUUAAUAAAAGUUACAAUAAAUGAUACUUUCUCGGUCCCACUAAUUAAAAGUGACCAGUAUUUCAUUAAAAAGAUGUAGGCAAAUUUAACCCUUAAAAAGAUGUAGGCAUUGUCACUUCUAACUAAUUUACAUUUUUUUCUUAAUUCUCGUGUCGAAAAGUUUUGAGCUACUUAUAAUGGGACGGAGGGAGUAAAAAAAAUUAUACUCCUAACUAGGGCUGACAAAUCAUGCGUAUCAGAUCGUUAUCGAAUCGACACGACAUGAUAAGGACAAACAUGACCACGAUCCAGGCCAAUGACCUCUUGCUUGUAAGAGAGAGAGUUUAAAUAUGAUCUUGCAAUAGAAUUUUAGAUAUAGAUUCUGAGCAUUUGUCAAAUUUCUGUGAACAUGACUAAUAUCAAAAUAGUCAGCAAAAAAUUGAUAAAACCGUGCAUCCCCAGCUCCUCUAAAAUCUCACGAUCUACAAAUUAUAUCAUUUCUAGAUAAGAUUAACAUUACUGAUUUUGCUAGUGGUGAGAGCGAAGUAAAUUAGUGAAGGAAAUCGUAAUUGUAGAGCUGGUGGGUACAACUACCCUUCACCAUUAUUCAAUAAAUAUUAAAUAAUUUGUCCCUACACCAAAAGUGUUGGCACACAUCUUUUAAUAAAAUAAACAAUAUUAUAUAAAAUAAAGGAAUGACAAAGCAAAAUUAAUUUAUUAAGUAAUUAUUAAAUGAUAUGAAUAUGAUUUUUCCUAAAAAAAUAUUGAGUGCGAAUGAGAAUGAAAAUAUAAGAAUGUGUACAAAAAUGUAAAUGCCACUAGGGCUGGUAAACCGGUCGGUUCGAUUAAAAUCGAACCGGUUUACCGGUUAAUCGGAACCGAAUUAGACCCUGUGGAGUAACCGAAAACCGAACCGGUUUAUGGUCCGGUUAACCGAAUAACCGGUCCGAUUUGAUCGGUUAAUUCGGUGAUUUCGAUUUCGGCCAGGAUUAACCGGUUAAUCGGUUAACUGAAUUAAUCCCAAAAAAUUCAAAAUUAAUGAAUUUGUAGGAAGUGGGGUUCGAAUCUUGGCCUUUCAAAGAAAGGAUGAGGUCCUAUCCACUCCACCAACUAAUAUUUUAUGCUUAUUAAGAACACAAAAAUAUUUUAUAAAGACUUAUAAGGUUAUAUUAAAAAAAAAAGAACAAUUUUAAUUCUAAUAAAUACAUUCCCAACCUAAGCAACAAUUUAACCACAAAUCAAUGCUAUAAAAUACUGAACUGGAGUGGACACAAAAUGCAGUGAAACAGAGGUGGCAAAAAGUCAUUUUUAUAGUUUUAUAUUUUCUUUCGUUUGAAGGAUGGUAAUCCAAUCUCGCUUACGAGAAUUAAAGGAAUAAAGUGGUGACUAUAUUCUGUUACACAAUAAAGCUCAACUCAACAAUGAGCCAAUGAGAGGCAUUUUCUGUUACAAAUAUAUAAAGAAAAUUGUUGUCGAAAUUCAAGACACAUGAUGACUAUAUUCUUUAUUUCAACUGGACUAUUUGCACAUGCAAGCAUAAAUCCAUGCAAUGCUUUUGGACAGAGUCACAUAAUUUUGAGAUUUAUCAUAACACUAAUACACAAUAGCAUCAACCUUCGAGCAACUCCUUUUCAUUUCAUCUCAUAUAUUAAGUAUUGCAAUUUUUUUCCCUAUUGUCGCACACAACACAACCGCAUAUUAAACUGUAUAACUACAAAGUAAAGAUUCAUAUUAGCAGCGGAAUGCUGAAUUUCUGCACUGCAGUUGAGACACACUAGCAUACGAAAUUGAAUAGAUUUACAUAAUGGUCAAAGUUAGCAGGAGCAACAUUUAUUUUACCUUUUGAAGGCACUCUCGAAACGGCCAAACUGGUAUUUGUCUAUGGCAAAUUGGACAGCCGGGAUGGUGAAGGAGGCUAUGGCAGCCGGGAUGGCGGGCGGAAGUUGACGAUGGCAAAUGCAGCGGCGGAUGGGAGAAAGGGGCUGGGAGAGCGGUUGCGUCCUGCCGCCUAUAGGCUGAGCAGGGGGGAGCGGUGCCGGUGCCGGUGGGAAGACACGCCAGUGCUGGUGGGAAGAUGCGCCGGACGUCGGAAAAAGAAGGGAGGCACCGCAAAACGUGAAGUGCAGAACAGCAGAAGGGGACUGGGAGAGCGGCUGCGUCCUGCCGCCUGCAGGCUGAGCACGGGGAGNGGGGAGGGGGAAAGAGCGGCGUCGGUGCUGGUGAGAAGACACGCCGGUCGGACGUCGGAAGAAGAAGUGAGGCGCCGCCCGCAAAGCCUGAAGUGCAGAACAGGCGUGAAUUGAGAAGAGAAGUGAGACGCGAGAACCCUGACUAAUUUGAUAUAAAAUAAAAUAUAAAACAAUUAAUUUAAUAAUUUAAGUAAAUCGGUUAAUCGGUUUUACCGGUUAAAUCGAUUAACCGGUUAACAGAGAUAUAACUAACCGAUAACCGAACCAAACCGAAAAAACUGAUUUUUUCGGUUCGGUUACAGUUUUAACCGAAAAACCGACACCGAAUUACCAGCCCUAAAUGCCACACUUAUUAUAAACAAAUCAAUAUUGCAAAAAUACUAUAAUUCACGUGGACGAGGGGACGUUUAGAUCGGAGCACACACAAACCGAAAGGAAAAACUCACACAAAAAAGACUAAACAAAUUACUAGCUGAUGAGGGAUGAAAUAUGUACUGCCCUGAGAUCUCGACAUGUGGCUUACUCGGACAAAUUAGAGAAUCAGAGAAGACAGAAAGUAUGCCAGAGACGGAGCUUGGGACCAAACCCCAAAGACAGAGCUCGGGACCAAACCCCAGAGACAGAGUUCAGGACCAAACCCCAGAGACGAAGCUCAAGACCAGACUCUAGAGACAAAGCCCCGAGGCCAGACUCCAGAGACAGAGCCCGAGGCCCGCAACAAGAGAGAGAAACCAGGACCAUAUUCCAAAGAUGAAGCUCCAGACCAGAUUUCCACGGUUUUGCACUAAAUGACAGAGAUCCCGACGAUGAUCUUACACCUUUAUUGUACCGUAUCCAUCUAGGUCUAAGUAGUUAGUGCGCGGAGCGCGUGAAAUAUUGUAAAAGUACUAUGAUACCCCUCCUUGUAACAACUAUAAAUAGCCUUCUUCCAUAAUGAAAAACACAUGAUAUUCACCACCCAAAACACUAUAAGGCUUUUUAUCUUGUGUUCAUGGAAACUCAGGUGAACCAAAAGAAAUCUCUCACCGUUGAAAUACUUUAGUUUAAUUCUUUACUCAUCAACUGGCGCCGUUUGUGGGAAAAAAGUCUAAGACGUGAGGAAUUAUCGAGCGAUUCUGCUUUUUCGGAGUACUCACCGAAGUUCUCUAUCUUCGAGGGGGUAUUCUGGAUCGAAAGACAUAAAACAUCGACCAAAAUGUCCAAAAAUUAAGCAAUUUAUGUUACCAUUGAAAGGCUGAAUCAGUUGUGGGGUGGAAGUUUACCAGCGUUAUGUUUUAGCUUCGUUUUUACUCUAAAUUUUUGUGUUCUCGUCUUGGAAGCCAUGUUACAUGUGUACUUUUAUAUGAUUAUGAAAUAUGUGCAUUGAUUUGAAAGUUGUAAUCGUUUUAUGAACGUGUGGGCGUCGAUCUGGAGGUCAUCAGUGUGUAUGAAAUGGUAUAUAUAGGUUGAAAAACCUUCCUCGUGCCAAAUGAUCACUCUAUGAUCUAGGUCUGGAAUGAUACAACGCCAUGUACCUUUGCGUGUAUGUGUGGAUCUAAGAAUCUGGAGUAAGUUGAAAUCCGUGUGUUUCUGUGCUUAUAAGUAUUGUUCACCUUCUCGCAGUAGAAAACUUCGAUUGCGUAUUUUUCUGUGCAAAAUUUGGUUAAGCUUUCCAAAACUGAUUUGCUAUCUGUGAAUGUUGAAAUUUUGGUUAAGUUAAUUUCCAUCUCGUGUUCUGCAAAGUUAGUUGCGUGUCUUUUGAUACGAUAUCUGUGAAAUCAUAGAGAUCAUUAUAACGAUUAUACUCACAGUCUGAUGGAAACUCAGAAAAUGGAGGACACCACUAUUCCUCAGAAUCUUGAUAGGUAAUUCAAGAAGGAAGCCAAUAACGUCAAUCUCCAUCAGACGGGAAACGAUAAAGUAACCCAUUCUGUUGGAUUAACACCACCAAGGACAACUAAGCUAGUGCACUCCACUCCCUUGCAGGUUAAUACAGGGUUGUCGUAGACAAGACCCUUCUCACUAUACCAGAGCAACUGUUGUCAUUACUCAACUAUACCUGUAUGAGACAGAUGAUGGGGAUCCCAUUCACUCCCUUGACCCUUGGAGUUUCGCCGGCACCAGGAAUACAUCUCCGUUUAUAGGAAGUUUGGGAACUACGCUACAACUAGUUCUGGAAGGACAUAAUUUGAACAGGUCUGACGUUAUAAGGCGUUUAGGACAAACCGAGCCAUUGUACCCAAAGGAUAUGGAUAACAUUGAAGACGUGGAGGACACUUCAAGUAAAACCUCCAAAAGAACGGAACAUCAGACCAAAGAGACGUUACCUGUAGACCUAGAGUUGUUAAAGGAAAGGGUUUCCCUCAUGCAAAAGCACAUCCGAGAGCUGGAAGCAAUGAUAGAGGGGAAAGAGCACCAUGCGCAGACCGCCAAAGAAGUGAGGGAGAAG
Molecule: long non-coding RNA, 63112 nt
Filed under: Salvia miltiorrhiza (redroot sage)
Lineage: Eukaryota; Viridiplantae; Streptophyta; Magnoliopsida; Lamiales; Lamiaceae
Description: long non-coding RNA (SMIL_LNC005020)
Rfam family: tRNA (bases 4822-4893)
Source: RNAcentral